ACAAAAAAAAACUAGGUAAAACUUCGACACAAAAAAAAAAAAGGUAAAAUAAUAUCACUCACCAUGAGUUGUCAGAUAGCUGCUGCACUUCUACUCGCUUUCCAACUGCAUCCUUUCCCAACUUUUUCAAUAUCCAAUUAGCAUCCAUGAUCUCGUCCAUUAAAUUAUCUUCAACUGACGGUCCCCUAUCAUUUUCACUGAAUGAUGUUUUCUCCAUAAACGGUGGUCUCUUUCUUUUUGAACGUUGGCCCUUAACAGAGCUUUUUUCUUCAUCAUGCUGAGAAGAACUCUGGCUUUCAACAUUAGGUUUCUUAAGCUUAAACUUCAAUGAAGGCUUAUGUUCUUUGGAGGAAGAUUGUGAAACCGGUGUUUGGCCAGAUUCAUCAUUCUUGUGAGCAGAUACGGCAGACCUGCUUUCUGAGUGCUUCCUUGAAUAAACCUUGUUAUUUUUCAUAGUGGGGAUCUCACCUACAGGCUCACUUGCAGUCGUGCCUUCUUCAGUGCUUUUUCCGGAUGAAACAUUCACCUGCUCUGGAGGAAUGCCUUCGACUACCUCAACCCUAUCACUUUUCACAAGUUUGGGGUUAUGAUCCGGUGCUCCUGACCUUACCCUUCCCAACUUUAUUACAUUCCCUUCUCUUCCAGCAACCUUCGAACCUAUCACAUAAAAACAAAUUAUCAAUUCUAUCUGCAAAUUGUACACCACCAGGAAGGUUUUGAUUACAUAAAAUAAUGAGAAUUGACCAAGAUACUAAUAAUUAAAUAGGAAACAGAUAAUAAUCAAAUUUAAUAAUCAGGGGAUUCUACCUUUUAUACCUUUAGCAUCGCCAAAAUUAGCAGGACUAUCAUGUUUAUUUUCCAUUGUUGUCUUCUGGCUCGCAUCUUCACCACCUGCUCAUCAAUAGAAUAACAAAUCAUAAAGAGAGUGAGAGAGAGAGAGAGAACAGUAUGACAUUUGUUCCCCAUACAGUAUACAGAUGACAUACCAUUAGAGGUCACGGGAGCAUGCACUCUUUGAUAGGUUGAAGCAUCAGAACUUGGAGAUUUAGUAAUAUUAAUCUUUUUGGCGCCGAAGUUUAUCACAAGCUUCUUCUCUUUCACAGGCUUAGACUUACCAGCAUGCUUUCCAGUGUCCUCUCCACUAUCCAGACCAUGAGACCUGCCCUUGAUACGAACUUUGGACGUCCUAUCUCCCCCAUUUAACAUCACUUCAUCAACAGACUUGUGCUUCAAUGCACUUGGCUCACUGACAGAGAAGAUCUCUUCAGUAUGGCUCAUACUUCCAGCAGGAGGUGAAGAAUAUACUUCUGGUUCUGCAUUUUUGGAGGACUGCAUCUCAUCAUUCUUGUCCGACCCAAGAUACUGGGAAUCAUGUCCUCGAACACUCUGAUUUGCUUUGGUACUAACUGAAAUUUCAUGGUAUUCCUUCUUCUUAGCAGGAAUUCUGAUCAAGGAUUUCUUACCACUAUCCUUGGUCUUUUUUGGCGACUUAUCAACUAAUCCUUUGAGAGACAAUUUCAAAGAGCGUCCAUAUUCACUCUUUUGUUUUGGGGGGCCAGUUUCUUCAUCAUCAGAAUAGGGUGGAAUAGAAAAUAUUUCUUCAUGAGCUGGCAACCCUGCAGCAGCCCUUAAGCUAGUAAUUAAAUCUCGUUCAGCUUCGUCUUUUCUCUUCCAAAGCUCUUUCGCAGCAUCCUCAUGAUUCUUGACCUGGCAGAAGAGAUUCAACAGAAGAUCAAUUCUUUUUUUUUUUUUUUUUUUUUGGGGNNNNNNNNNNNNNNNNNNNNGGGGGGGGGGAGUAAAACUGGUAUCUAAAUUUAGCAGACCUGAUGGCACUCUCCACGACAUGUGGCACAUUUGUACUGGAGAUUUCCAUCUAACUGAAAUUGUUGAUAUUUUUCAUCACUGGAAAAAGAAAUGACACAUUUAGUAUACAAAAAUAAAUAAAAGAAAAUAACUGAUACUAUAUUCGAAAAAUAAUUGUGCGUUUAUAUAAGGAUCGAAGGGAGGCCCGAGCAGAAAACAUUCAUUUAACAUAAAUGCAAAAUAAUAGAUAUGAUUUGCCUGCUAGCAAGACCUAAGGCUUUAGAAAUCUGAGUAACGAGAGAGAGUGAACAUAAUGACAUGUCAUUCCAUUACUUUCCCCUAAGAGAAAUUCGUCUUAAUGGUAUACGAACUUUUGCUACUUAUAAACUAUGGUAUAUCAAGUUUUAAAAAUAUCAGAUUGGUAUCUCAUGUUUCCAUCCCAACCUAGGAUUGAUAUAUAUAGCCAUUAAGAUGACUAAUUUACCCUCAGACAAAAAAAAAGACCAACUUACCAUUAAAUUCUCUCUCUUUUUUUCUUAGUUUUCAUAUUCCAAUUUUCUUUUUUUGGCUUUUUAUAUUUUUAGGAACGUAGAGAAAAAAUUCUUCGUCAUUUUCUCCUUGCUAUUAAUCAGUUCUUCAUCUCAAUCGUCCUUGAAUGUCAACAGCAACAACAAGAUCCUUGACUGUCAGCGAAAACAACAACAAUUGAACUUCUGUAUGUUUCCUCUCUUCAAUCUUCUUCAAGUUUAUAAAGACCAACCCAAAUCAUCAAAUUCCAGAACCUCUUCUAAUAUUUCUGGAAUAUGAAAACAAAUAUAAAAAAAACUAAGAAAAAAAAGAGAACUCAAGGGUAAAGUGGUCAUCUUAAUGGCUAUAUAUGCCAAUUUUAGGUCAGAUGGAAACGUGAGAUACCGUUUUGAUAUUUUCAAAACUUGAUAUACCAAAGUUUAUAAGGCGCAAAAGUUCGUAUACCAUUCGGACGAAUUUCUCUUCCCCUAAAUGAAAUUACAGAAUGAUAUGUCAUUCCAUUACUUUCCACUAAAUGAAAUCAUAUCUCCUAUUGAAAUUGGAUGAUCAAUCAUUUUCUUGAUAAAAAAAAAAAAUCCUUCAGAACCAGCGAAAUCAAAGGACGAGACUAAGCAGAGUACUUGUUAGUAUAAAAAUAAAUCAACCUGAUCCCAUCACAAUGGCAAUGUACCCAACGCUGGCAAAUAUCGCAGCAGACCAUAGGUGUUGAUUCUGAGUCUCUGUAAACCUAUAAAAUGGCAAAACCAAAAAAAGUCAAGAGUGUAGAAAGAGGACAUAUUCCAAUGAGAUGGUUAAAAAAAUAAGAUAUAUUGUUUAAACUAACUAGUACAUCAGGGCCCUUCCAUUGAGGGAUCCCUAUUUUUAGUCACUUUUAGGGAUAAGCUCACAUCAUUGGAUCUGUCAUUUAAUGAGGUUGGAUGGCUGAGAUUAAAACAAAAAGUUACACACUUUAUAUCAAACCUGGACCGUUCAAGAUCAUUAAAAAUAAAUUGAAGUUUUGAAUGGGUUAACGAUCACUAAAUUAUCUGAAAAUUUGUAUAAAUAAUCUACUCAUAUAACCCAAUGAAUUGAACGGAGUAGAUGCAAAAAUUUGAUCGGGAAGUUGGUGUAAUGCCCUAUCCUUAGAAAUAGUCAAAAAUAGGGAUCCCUCAAUGGAAAGGCCCUCACUAGUACAUACAUACCGUAGCUCUUAAUAAUAAUUAGCUGAUCAUACAAAUGCAACAAAAAUCAUAAAAGUCAAUUAAAACAAAUCACCUCAGGAAAAUAGGCUACAGAAAUAUAUAGUACCUUCAAGCAAACAGGGCAAUAGUUCCCCUUAACAAAUAAUCGUCCACAUGCAUCACAGCAAGUGUAUCCCAAAAACCACCUGUCAAUUUAACCAGCGAAGCUUAAGUCUAUGACGUGCUCCCAAGUUAGCUAACUGGGUGAUAACAGUAAGAAACUUAAAGAGCCCAUAACAUGUUCCUAAUUUAGAAGGCUUUCAACGACAUAGAGAAACUAUGCCAUAUGCCAAACACUAAUACCACAGAACAUAAUAAUAGGCAUGGUGUGAGGACAGAAUCUAAGAAGGUGCAGAAUACAGAAAACUAAGAUACUACCAACUGAACUAAAUCAGAAUAUCACAAUAACAAUCAUCUUAUCAUCAGUGUAGGCAAAGAAAAAGAUUAAUAGAUCAAAAUAGUAACAAUACAUACCUAACACUUAGACCAUUUCCUGGCACGUUUGACCCACAGCUGUGACACUUUGUAUGUUUUGGGCAUACAUAAACCCCAGCAGAAACAUUCUGCAACAUGCAUGAACAAAUAUAAGCAUAUUUUCAACCAAAGAUAGGAAAUCAUGAAUAUGUAGUGCAUCCCACCUUGUGUGAAGGAUGUUGGCAGUAACAGUGGUAAGCACCAUCACACCUUUUGCAGAACAUAAGCUUGUUUGGAUCUCCUGUUCUUCGACAUACCUGGAGAAAUGAUGCAAUAGGCACCUGGUUAAGAAGUGCCUCUUUGGAAACCGAAUACCAGGAACAUUGGCCCAUACCAAACAAUAUGGCAUCUUUGGUAUAAAAUGAAAUCUAUUAAAGAAUCAUAGGUUAAAUUAAAUGAAUAAGUCCUCAUGAAGUGUUAUUAAGAGACAAUUUAUAGCCUAUGAUAAUAGACCAAGUGGAGGGAUAUACAGAAUGUAGUGGUGGCCAAAAGCCCUAAUUUUAGGUAUAGGCAUCAGACUAAUCUGUUUUCAUUUAUCAUGGAUCAUAUUAUUAGGAUGCCUACAAAUAUUUAGGGUUAUGAGAGUUACAAUAUAAGAGAGCAAUGAUCAAAAUAGGAAAGGAAAAAGAAACAUACAUAUAAACGAAGGCAUAUCAGGAGGAUACUAGAAAACACACCAUAUUGGGUGUGCAUGCAAUAUGGAAACAUUACUUUCGUAGACCAACAAUAACAGAUAAUACUGACACACUGAAAAGGUAAUGUAGGAGCUUGAAUAGAAAAUACAUGUAACAACAUGGACGAGUACUGCAAAUCACUCAUUUACCUCACAUAUUCGGCACGACGGGCAUGCCCAUGAACUCCAGUGAAAUAGAUCUGCAAAGAAGUUCCAUUACAUUAAUAUGUCAGAUCUAUAGCCUCCUACAAAAGCUUGGGAACUAUUAGUACCUCUGUGUUGAGACCAAGUUUUCAAGCAGUUCCUAUGGUACUUUUUGCCACAGGUUUUACAUGGAAGCAUCCUUCUUGCUUUCUCACUUCCUUCAUUUUCCCCAGAAAAGCAUAUCCGACACAUAACAUUGGACUGACCCUGCUCUUCUCCCACAACUCCUUUGGAGGUGUCCUGAUAACAGGAAGAAAGAAAUGAAUGAAAAGUUGGUAUUUUCAACAUAAAUAAAAGAGGUGAGUAGGGGGAUAGAGUAGCAGAGGAUCGAAAAGAAUUUAACAGCUAAAUUUUUUUCAUCUAAAUCACGAUACUAUAUGAAAAGGUUUAAAUGGCACAAGUAUGUCAUAACAAUAAGGUUAUAACGGAAAAAAAAAAAAAAAAAAAAAAAGAAGGCCCCAACAUGUCAAAUACAACAGAUACUCUAAAAAACUUGCAACUAAACGGAGGUAUGCCAUUCAAGUAACAGAAAAACUUGCUUGGUCUCAUAUUGUGUCUAAAGCUAAUGGGGUAUAAAGUCAAUAUAACCCGAAGCGGGUAAGGGCAUUUCAACAUAAUGUUCUAUUCCUUAUCAAAGCAUAUAAAUUGGAGUUUUUCAUAGCAUGGCAUCUUGAGUGUGUAGCUGGGAAAUUCUAUAGUCAGGGAAAAAACACAGUUGCAUCUUAGUUAAAGGUUAUAAUAUGAGAGUAUAAACCCUACUCUGGGUUCUUACGUUUAGAAGCUACUUCAAAGCUUUUUGCAUUUUUUUGCAGCUAAAAGUGCUGCAACCACUUAGACUCACCCUUUACUACAAUAAUUUCACCUAUGUCUCAUAUUUUCUCCUAGUCAAUCCUAUUGGCCUUUAUAAGAGAACCAAAAACUGACUGAACUUGUCCAUAUCUCAACCAUCUUAACCGCAUUGCCUGCAAAUACAAACAUGUCAUGUAUCAUAAUAAAUGGACCCCUAUUACUCAAAAAAAUUCCCGGUUGGUAAAUCAGAAGCAUAUCUCAUUGCGGGAAACCAGCAUGAGCCUGAAAAACCUACAAGUCAAUAUCUAGCCGAAACAGUCAAAAUCUAAUAUCCACUCCCUAACCACUUUCCCAGUACCAUAUAUAAUCUCAGAUUCCUUAUUUCGCAAUCAACUCUACAAAAACUCGAAACUCACAUAACAUGCAUUCAUCUACGCACAAAUACAACCCAAAAAUUAUCUCCAAAUUACAGCCAGUAACUCCAAAAACAUAAAAUUCUAACAAGCAGAUGCAUAGCACACAAAAUUCAAAAGCAUUGAAUUCGAAGAACCUCACCGACAAAUCACCAGACUCAAAGCGGCGAGCAAAGUCCUCAGCGGCCACCAUAUCCGCAGCAGCCUUGCGCUGGAGAGCGGCCCGCUUGGCCUGCGCGGUGGCCGCAGCUGCCGACUCCUCAUCAACCGUCGCCGCCACCGCAUCCCCAACGACCGACGGCGGAACCGGCAGAGGAGGCGGCGGAGGCGGCGGCGCGACUCUGGGAACAACGACCUGGACAGUUCUGCCGUCGUCGCGAGCCCUAAUUCCGGACGGAUCGCUGAGAAACUGAUGGACUUUGAUGACCUCGUCGAGGAAGCUCGCCUUGGAAUUCGCGGUGGCGAGGGAUCGAGGAAACCCUAGCGGGCAGAAGCAGAUUCGCCGGCUGAACACCACAACAGAGAAGAAGUUUUAGAGAGAGAAAAUGAGAGAGGGUUUUAGAGAGAGAAGGAGCGUACCAUGUAAUUGGGCAAGCGACGUGAAAUGCCAUAUUGCGAUGAUACAAAGGGGAUUUUAGAUUUCCAAAUUUUUUUGGUGUUCAGGGAUCUCGCCCCUCCUAAAUUUUUUUACUUCGCGAGGAAAAUAUAUAAAUAAAAAUUAAAGUUUAUAUUUUGGAAAAUAAUUUGGUUUUAUAGGUAAAGGGGGUGACUGUGAUGACGAAGAAGAGAGGGGAGACACGAAGAUAGAAACAGGGUCCUCCCUCUCUGUGCCUGUGCGUUUUAUUUUCAAUUUUGGGAUUUCUCGUGUCGUUUCGGGCUCCUUUAACAGCGAUUUGUGGGCCACUUGGUUAAUACACAUAUAACAAUGGGUCAAAUUAUAAAUCUAGAAUUUUAAACUAUCCAUGGUGACAUGGGGUGAAUGUUGGUGGUGGUCAUUUUACAUAGAAGAAAAAUAUGUCAUCUAAAGGGCCAUGUGGUUAAGUUGUUACAAAUAUUGAUAUGAUAAUAUGGACCAACACAACACAUUCAUGUUAUUGGUAUAAAAUAAAAAAAUACACCGAGCAGAUUACGUGACAAACGUCUCGCUCGUCAUAUUUACCUUGACUAUUAUAAUAACUCCUGCCGUAAUCUUUAUGUGGCAUGUAAAUUAAUAUCUUGUAGAGUUACUAUAUAAACUAAUUCUUGGUUCUAUAAUUUUCUAGAAUCUCCUUCAAUAACAAUUAGCUUUUUAGUUGUAGGUUCGUGUAUCUUGGUUAGCUUUAAACAUACGGUAUAAAGGCGAUGUAGGUUCAGAUCUCCGAUGCACAAAUGGUGUCAAAUCGGGAAGUAUAUAAACUCAUGCCUCUAAAAUCCUGUUUGGGUAUAUAUUUCUGAUGAACAAUGAUCGAACCUGAUUGUCACACCCCAAUUUUCGAAAGAUAAAAUUUCAAAAAUUUGGGCAUGAUAAAACUCAAAAUCUUAAUAUCCCACAACCUGCUCGACAAAUUCCAAACUAAAAACAAAUACUGUAAACUCAUGCCUCUAAAAUCCUGUUUGGGUAUAUAUUUCUGAUGAACAAUGAUCGAACCUGAUUGUCACACCCCAAUUUUCGAAAGAUAAAAUUGCAAAAAUUUGGGCAUGAUAAAACUCAAAAUCUUAAUAUCCCACAACCUGCUUGACAAAUUCUAAACUAAAAACAAAUACUGUAAAUGUAAAUGUAAAUUAACUCCUCAACCGAGUUAAACACUUAAUCUCCUUAAUUACAUUAACUUUCAAAAGUCUAGUAAUAAACUACUUCGCUCACAUGAGCUUCAAAACAACCACCAUAAAAUACAAAUAAAUGUAUAUCAUCAAAAACCCAGCUCCUAGGCCACUGCCUCAAACCUUCUGAUCAUCACCUGCAGGUCUAACCCCUACACCAUGAAUUGGUGCACCGGGUUGUAAACAACAAACCCGGUAAACUAAAAGCUCGUAUGAGUAACUCCCAAAAUAUUAAUUCAACAAUCCCAACAUCACAUAUAAUUAAAAUUGAUAAUUCCUGCAUUAAUAACUUAGUUCAGGAAUCACCUAAAAACAAGAGAAUUCAAAAGAAGCAAUUAAGAAAAACACCAUAAUUCAAAAUCACUCAAAAUCAUAAAUGAAACAAAUAAUUAACAGGAAACACAACAAUUCACAAUCAAACAAAUCAAAAUGAAAUUCUGCAAAAAGGCAUAGUUCAGGAAAUACUUAAAACAAAGAAUUUUAAAAGACAACAUAUAAGAACAUCAUACAAUCAUUUCUCUACUCUUACUUAUGAGUUCGCCAACACUUAGUCAUCCCCCAUAAGUAACCAACAAUGCGUACUCAUGGGUUCAUCAACACUUAGUCAUCCCCCAUGAAGUACCGACUGACAGACUAGAGCUCUAUACUGACCGUAACCAAUCACCCGGCUAAGGCUUGGUUCCCGGUCCACCACGAAGGCUCCUAAUCUAAGAAUCACCACUAAGGCACACACAUACAUAACUAAUGCGCAAAACCACACUAAGGCACGCAUUCAAAUACUCUCCCAUCAUAACACUUAUCAAAUCAUAAAUUAAUAAUAUAAUCAUAACCGUAACCAAUCACCCGAUUAAAGGCUUGGAACCCGGUUUGAAUAUUUAAACAACAAUUCACAAUAUAAAAUAUAUCAUCGACAACAACACAAGAACACUUCAUAAAUUAUAUCUUUCCGCCUAGAUAUAUUUAUAUAAACGAAGACAUAUAUAUUCUCACUAGAAUAAUAUAUCAACAACCAUAUUUCAACAUCACAAUAUCACAUGAUCGGAAGUCCUUUUGAAAGAUUCUAUUUUACCAGAAAAUAUAUUUUCACUUACCCAUAAGCGUUGAUGAUCAAACUCAUUUAUUUUUAAAACAAAAAUCAUUUUCCUUAAAGGACAACUUCACAACUAACAAUAAUAAAAUUAUAAAAUAAACUCGGUUUCUUAUGAACCCAUGUGAGAUUUACUCACAAUAUAAAAAUUGCAUCAUAAUCAUCAUCACCAAAAUCAACAUCACAAUCAUCAUAAUAAUUGUCAUCAUAACAAUUAUCAUCAUCAUCAUUAUCAAAAUCGUCACCAUAACAAUUAUCAUCAUCAUAAUCAUCUUCAAAAUCAACAUCACAAUCAUCAUCAUAUUAAUUAUAAAUAAUUGGUCCCAAAGUGGACCUUGGUGAGAUGUUACUCACCUCAAAUCCAGCUGCGUCUUCGCACGCACAACACAAACAUAUAGUACAAAACCACACCCACAAGUCACUUAUUAACAAAAACGUUAACCUUAGCAACUAUGAAAAACAACAUUAUCCGACUCGAACCAAAACUCAAGUCCUAACCCACGAGCUUGCCACUUGAGACAAAACUUCCUCCUUGACCUUUAAAAGGUCGCCGAAACGUCCAACACAUCCUAUAGAACUACUAACCAGAUUCUCAUGUUCGGAUUUACUCAAAAAUGAAACGAACGAAACUUAACACCACGGGGAAACCCUAGAAUGCAAUAAUGAUAACCAAAACCUACAACCCACAUAUCAACACGCUCGUAUCAAAGAGUACUAUCUAACCAGCACCACAAAACACCCCAGACACUACCGGACACGCCACCACAGGCGGCGGCGAGUGGGCCCCACGCGCCACCACGAAAUGUCUGAAUUUGGGCAAACUCAACACAUUAAACUUGUAGAUUGAGGAGAGAGGAGCAUCUUUUAUACCUGAGGGUCCAACCAGUUCGACCGGAAUCGGCCGGAAAUCACCGGAAACUUGCCGGAAAAGUUGGAAUUCACCACCACCACUCCACACCGAGAGUCGAGCUUCAAGACCACCGGAAAAUGAACCAGGUCGCCAAGGAGCUCCUAUCCCGACCUUUUCCAAGUUGCGUCGCCGCUGCCGGAGGUGGGAAUCCCGACCGGUCUCUAAGCCGAACUUCCAAGCUUCAGGUCACCACUUCGGGACUGAAUCGGCGUAAGUCACCACCACAAGGUAGCUCGGACGGAGGAGAGGAAGAGAACCCGACCGGUGCCGACGUCUAGGUCGGUCGGAGGUGGCCGAAAAAUCCGGGUCGGGUCAACCGGGUCCGGGUCGGGUCGACUGGGAAACUCGGAUACUGAAGGUGAGGCGGGAGAGAAGAAAAGAGGAGAGAGUGAUGUGGGACAAAAAAAAAACUGAGGGAACCCUAUAACUUUUUCAUAGUUAUACUAAAAAUUUCCGAAAACCACGAACUUCUGCUGACCAUAACUUCCAUAUACGAAGUCCGUUUUACACGUGCCAUGUGUCUACGAACUCGUAUCGUCGUGCUCUACAACUUCCGUGAAGGAAGUUUUCCGAGAAACCCAACAGAUUAAAAAGUCAACUCUUGACCCUUCAAAAUAAAUCAUUUUCAAGGAAAUAAAAACUCGACUACUUCUAGUCCACUCACUAAACCAGAAAUCCAUACAACUCUUACUUAAAUAAUUUCCAAAAAUAAAAUUAGAAACUAAUAUUAAAUUUCCAGGGUAUUACACUGAUCCAGUCCUACUAUAAGGCUUUCGAGUUUAUGUAAACCAUCAGAGCUCUCACUCUCUCACAACAAGCCAACUUAAGGUUUUCCCAUCCAAAUCACUUGUAUUAUGUCGCUCUUGAUCCUAGUUAUCGGCUGACGAACCUCUCGGUCUCGCGAAUCUCUCUAGGGCAAGCUUUGGGUUGCUGCAACCUCAUUUGGUUCUCGUGGGGACGUGCAUUUUUUUUCAAGGAUGAUGGGGAUGACGGGGAUGACAUAGUUUUUCUCCGAUGGAUCCAAAUCAAAUAGUUUUCUCCGAUGGAUCCAAAUCAAAUCUGGGAUCUUGUGUCUGCCAAGGUUCAAGAUGUCGGUAGGGCUGGUGUAGGGUUAUGGGAUUGGGACUUCUUAAGAAUUGGGGCCUGGAUUUGGGCCCCAAAGUCUUCGGUUUGGGUCUAGGUUUCUAGGGCCUUAAUUGAUUGAUGUUCAAGUUUUCUUUAGCUAUGACGAAUCAUUUUUUUUCCUGCUUCGGGCAAUCGGGCUUGGGCUUUUAGUUUGUUUGUUGAACAAGUGUGUUUUAUUCUAUCAAGUGGGUGUAUUGGGGCUUUUGGAUCUUAUUCUAUUAGUAUAGGUGUUGAAGCUCUAUAAAAUCGUUCUUUCGAACGGUUUUACCGCUUGUUAUUCUAUUAGAGUCUAACAAUCAUCGUUUCAAACAAAAACCUAAUCCGACUAGUUGUCUAACUCUCUUGUUAUCUAUAGUUAGCCACAUCUUCUAGGGUUUCUCUGGCUUCUCCUAAGGUUCUCCAAACGUUGUUGCUUCGCACCCCAAUCCCAUUGGCACUAGGUCCAACGAGGUCUCAUAGAGAUUUGCCUCCUCUUUAGCUCUUCCCGAUGGAGAUUGACCUUUGGUCGGCGUCACUCGCUCUACCCCGGCUCCGCAAUAGUUCUUUGAUGUAGGCCAUCUUCUCACCCUCAAGAGAAAGGUCUUAGAUUAGAAUGCGGUUAUCGGUACUCUAACCUCAGUAUGAGAUCUCCAGAAUCGCCUCCAGAUGCGUGCAAGAGAUGAUCGAUUUGUGUUGCUCUUCAAUAGAGCGGAAGACUAGAAUUGUCACAUCUCGGUUCUUAAGUCAAUUUGCGGUUAUUUACUUUUGGGUUACUUUGGUCUUUCACCGCUUUAAGUAACCGUUUACUGUUAAAGAACCCUGGAGUUGACUUUUUGUAGGAAAAUUAUUUUGGGAAAAUUUCUUUAAGGAAGUCGUAAAGGACAUUAAUACGAAUCCGUGGACAUACUAUACGUUAAAAUCGGAGUUCGUAUGUAAAAGUUAUGGUGUAAAAUGUAAAGUUACUAUUUCGGGAAGGAAGGAAUAAAAAGGGUCAAAGGUGGAAAGUCAAAAGUGAAAAGUCAGAUUUCACUUUCACUUCUCUCUCCUCCCCCGCUCGGUUCCCGACCCGGUGCCUUCUCCACCUCGGUUCGCCGCCGUCCGGCGGAGUUAGGCCGCCAUACCGGUUGGGAUUUGAAGCUUGGCUCAUACUCAGCUGAUCUGGGUAGCUGGCCGGUGGUGUCGCGCCACCGUGAGGGAGAAAGAGCGACUGGAAGCCGCGGUUGUGUGCAGAGGUUUUUCGCCGGAAACUCCCUUUUCCGGCCACCAUAGCUGGAGCUGCUAGUAUCAUUUGGAAGCUCUCCUCUUGUGCAGCAAACCCCUAAAACGAUACAUCCUAACUCGAGGUAGGUAAGGAGAAUCGAAGGUUUGAAUUUUCUAGGGUUCUUUAUUGUGUUUUUGUUCGAUUGGCAUGUUUAAGCUUGAAAUUGGACUUGGUGAUAGUUAUGAAAGUUGUUUGGGAUGUUGAGAGGAAGAUGCUGUUAAAAUUUGGUAGCCAUUGGGGGCCGCUGGAGUCAGCCGCCGCUGCCGGCGAACGCCGCCACUUGGAGGUUGUUUUUUAAGUUUUUUGGGUUUGUUAUAAUGAGAGGAGUCUAAUGAAGUAUAGUUUGGAAUAUUUGGAGGAGUUUUGAUAAGGUUUGGGAUUUUUAAAAAGAUCAAGGAUUUUGCCGGUUAUUAGAAUGAAAAUCCGGCCGUUGGAUUUCCUUGGUAUUUAUUAUAGAAUGUUAGAAUUGAUGAAUUAAGGUUGUGGUGGAGUUAUGUGUGAAUCCGGCGAGUUUAACCCUAUUAAGAGUAGUGGGUUAAACGGAAGAGAGUUAGAUGUUUUUAUUCACGUAUUUAUUUUUUGGAAUUGAAGUUUGGUUCUAAGCAUGGUUGUUGUGCCAGGAUGCAAAGGGAAUCUCGCUUGAGUGGCGAUGCGGUUAUCGUCGGGCUUAUGCCUAAAUUUGUGAGUGGACAUUUUGGUUUUAAAUAAAUAUGCAUGCAAGAUUUUAUAAUCUAUCAUUUUAUUUUCCGAGCAUAUAUUAUAAUUUUCAGCUCAUGAGUUGAUCUUGAAAAAUUAUUUGAGUUUGGUGCAUUGAUUAAGUGUUGGUCAUGAUUUAUGGAUUUAAGCUCGGAUUAUUAUUUUGAUAGUUGAGUUUGGAUAUUCCUUAUAUAUUUCGGAUUUCAGUAUAAUGGUUUUAUUGGUGGACUUCGAGAUUUUUAAAAGAUUUCCGAAAAUGGGAUUUUCGGUAGUUCUCCAUCAUAAUUUAAUUGUUAUUUGAGGCAUAAUGAUUUUGACUUGGAGAAUAUUUUAGUGAGUAUUUUCAAGUGGAGAUAUUAUUAUUUAUGAUUUAUUUUUGAUAUUGAAAUCUCGCUUAUAUUUAUAAAUUUGAGAAGAUUAUGACGUGUGAGACACGUCAUUGACUUUUAUUAUAAUAUCUUAUGAUGAUUUUCAAGUACGGUUGGGAACCGUACCAUUCAUGUGAUUUUAGGGAAGUUUAUUGGAUUUAAGUGAUUUCGUAUGUUUUUAAUCACCAUAAUAUAGGGUUGAUUUAUAUUGAUUAUUGCUAGCUAACCUUAUUAGCGGUCCUCAUCAUAUGUGAGUCGCUAGUAUGCCCUUAUUAGCGGUCGUCUUCAUAUGUGAGUAGAGCGCUUAACGUGGGACGCUAUUAUAGCCUGGGAGGCAACCGAUCGGUAUUUAUAUUUAUUAGUUAGCUAGCCAUUAUUAGCGGUCCUCAUCAUAUGUGAGUUGAGCGCUUAGCAUGGGACUCUAUUAUAGCCUGGGAGGCAUCGACCCGAGUCUUAGAGGCUCCUUUUUCAUGGUGAUAACUCUUCCCCUUAUUUUAUUCUUCUCAGUAAUAUAUUUGAUUAACCAGUGGGGCUGGUUUAUCUCAUUUUAUGAGAUUUCUAUUUUAAUUAACCAGCAGGGCUGGUUUGUCCUUUAUUAAGUGAUUUUAGAUUUAAAGUUUUAAGGACGUUUAAGUUGCAUGCUGUUAAGUUUUAAAAGUUGAAAAGUGGGAAAGUAUAUAAGUUUUAUAAUUGUUAAGUUAUUGAAUUUAUUUUUGUCCACUCACUCUAACGUUUUUAAAUUACUUUCCCCUGGGCCCUUUGAUUUUAAAUGCCCAGUUUGCAGGCUAAGUUAUUCGAGGUCGAGCGUACAUGGAGUCAAGGCAUAGUCAGAGGCUGCUUUUGCUUAUUCUUUAGUCAUUGUUUUUCGUUUAACUUUAGAUAUGCUCUGAUAACCAGUUAGUGAAUUAAUGUUGGUUAUUGUUGGUUGUGGGAUUAGUUUAGCUGAGUAGUUGUUAUAUUGGGAGAUAUGAUGAACUUAGGGAACAUGAAGGCUCCAGGUGUUGAGGAUGGAUGUUUGUUUAUAGAAGUGUUAAGUUGGAUUUUUCAGGUAAGGGUUGUCUAUUUUCAAGGAAGGUUAUGCCGAAUUUUCGGUUAAUUUUCCUUGAAGGUGGACCCCGUAGGAUUUACCUCGGGUUUCAGGGUGAAAUUCGGGGCGGGUCUUGACAAGGAUAACAUCCUGUAUGGAGGUCCUUAGUUCUAUGGCAGAUCCCAAUUUGUUCUCGUCAAAUAUGAUGGUCUUCAAGAUGUGUCUCAGGUCCCUAUUGAGUCUUUCUCGAUGUGGAUCGAAAUCAAGGGGUUUCCAGAUGCCUUGAUCACAGAGGAGGCGGUUGAGAAGAUUGGUCUGACUCUAGGGUUUGUGGACCAUGUCAACAAACUGAAAAUCAAGCACAGAUCGAAGGUUAGGGUUAGCAUUUUGCACAAUUUGUGCAAUUAUUUCAAGGAAGCCUUUGGGGAUCUGCCCUUUGAGUUUGGAUCGAGGAGGUUUCUAGCGAAACUUCAACUGAAGUACGACUGGACUGUUGGUUUUUACAGGGUGUGCGCCAUGAUGAUCCAUCCCGAUUCCAGUUGCACUGGUAAGCCAGUGUUGACACCAAUUCAUCGAAAUCAAGUCGAUGACGACUCUAUUUGGAUAUAGAGGAGCAACUAGGGUGUCCGAAACCAAACCGAUCGAACCCUAACCUUAGUCUGGUCUCGAAACCAUUUAUGGAUCUAAGUGGUGCGUCGUCUUCUGGGGUGAAGAACCUGGUUCUCUUGUAGCUGCCAAGUACUGCCUUCAACCCUUUUAAAGCUGCAAGAAAUUGAUAUGGGGUCUGUCUGAUUUCCCGAAGGUUUCAGUCUCUCUCCUUGGAAUUUUUGUUGCUGAUCUUGUCGUGUAGUUAGCUCGAUUUCGGUCUGCUCCGGUGACUGAACCGAUCUCGGUACCAGCUCUAGAGGUGGUGACAGUCCCAACAAGUGUGCUUCCAAUGUCAUCUUUAGCUUGGACGAAGAGGAGUGUUGAACUAGCUUUAGUGUCGUUUUGCAAGAGAGGUUGUGGUCUACCUGAGCCGGAUCAAUUUGCUGUAGUGCCCUAUGAGCUGCCCUUCGCCCCUAAAAUGGCUCUACCUCACUCUGGAUGGACUCUUACUGACACAACCCAUCCCAAAUUUCACCCUGAAACCCGAAGUAAAUCCUGCGGGGAACACCUUCAACGAAAGUUUACCGAAAAAUCGGCAGAACCUCCCUUAAAAAAAAUGGACAACCCUUCCUAAUAAUACCUGCAUACACUUCUGAUAAACCAAAUCCAACCUUAAACUCCUGGAGCCUUCAUGCCCCAAAUCACAACAUCUCCCAAUUAUUUAAAUAUCUACACAAAUCUCAUAUCCAACCGUUUAUAGGUUCAGAGCAACACUAAUAGGAAGAAAGGAAACAUGAUAAAUUAACAAGCGGAAGCUAUAUGAUGACUAUGCCUCACUCCCCAUGUNNNNNNNNNNNNNNNNNNNNGCAACUCGGCAUUUUAAAACGAAGGGCCCAGGGGAAAACAUUUGAAACCGUUAGAGUGAGUGGACAAAAACAUAAAUUUAAUGAAAAUAUUUAUGAUUUCCCAAUUUACAUUUUCAUAGAAAAUAUGCUGCAUGCGACAGCUCAAAAACGCUCAACACAAAAAUUGGCAAUUUCAUGACUAGCUCCGGCCAGUCUCCAAAACUCAAUAAAAUACAGCCUCUCAGGCUAAAAUAAAAUAUUUAUGUAUUACACUCGUCAUAUCCCUUGUAUGAAUUUUCUUGAAACAACAAAGACAAAUAGAAAAUUCACACAAGGCUACGACGCUUGCGUCUAACGCUCACGUCGCACCAUAAUGGCAUUUUACCUCAUUAUGGUGGAAAAGACGGUGUAUAAAUAUAUACGCGCAUAUCCCUUAUAUAAAUUAUUAUAUUUAUAUAGGGUUACGACGAUUGCGUCUAACGCUCACAUCGCACCAUAAUGAAAUUUUUACCUCAGUAUGGUGGAAAAGCACGUAUAGCUAGCUAGCAUUCCUUCAUAUACAUAUUAUUCUCAUAAUCAUCCAAAUAUGGAUAUAUAUAAAUAUAUAUACUCACCGAAAUUCUCAAUUUCGGUUAUUCUCCAACAAUAAUGAAAAUUGCCAAUUAUCAUAAAAAGAAAUACGCACACGACUCUACCGAAAAUCUCAUUUUCAGUAACUUUCCAAAUAACACGAUAGCCAUUAAAAAUGAGAACAUUUACUUCUGAAAAUGACUUCGCGAAAAUAAACAAUUCCACAAAUUGAUAUUCAAUAAAAUCAAUCAUUUAAUGUAGAAUCACCGCAUGCAUAUAUUUUAAAACAAAAGUCCACUCACAACUUUAGGCCUAAACCUGAUGUCGAUCUGGACCCUCGCUUGCCCGAGCCUCCUCACGUCCUGUUCCAAAUAUACUAUUAAUUUCCUAACUAACAAUCCAACAUUUAAUUAAAAUAGGCAAAAUUAACCGAGAGCCGUAACUACGCUCAUCAUUGCCUAACUUCGAUAUUCUUAAAUCGAAACGAUCCGAACUUAAAUAUCAUACUCGGCAGCCGUAAUUACAACCUCCAAAAAAAAACGACUUAAAUCCUACGGCCGGAUUCUACAUUAAUUAACCGCCAAAAAUACCACACUUCAGAAAUUCAUAAACCUAUCCAAAACUCAUUCAAAAAUUCCAUAACUCACUUCAAUAAACUCCCCUUAAUAUUCUAAAUUUAAAACCCUAAAAAUCUUCCAAACAGUGGCGGCGCCGGCGCCGGCUCCGCGGGCAGCAGCGGCCGGAGGCUGAUUCCGGCGACCUCUAAUGCCUAUGAAAUUUUGACAGCAUCUUCCUCUCAUCAUGCUCUACAACUUUCCUAACUAGCACAAACCCAAAAUCUAAGCCUAGCUAUGCCAAUCGAAUAAAAACAUCAAAAUCGCUCCAGAAUUUCAAACUCACAUUUCUCCUUACCUAGCUCAAGAGAGGGUAAGCUGUUUAGAGGGGUUGCUGCACGGGAGGAGGGCUACAAAAUGAGCUAAGGAUCGCCGGUUUUGGUGGCCGGAGGAGGGAGUUCCGGCGAAAAGCUUCCCGGCGUCUCCGGCGAGUUUUCUCUUCUUCCGGCGGGCUAAUGGCUCGAGGGCUAGGCCGGGGAGGGAGAGGAGGAGAUGGGGGUCCGAACUGGGGUGGAGUGGUGGCUGGUGGUUGGCCGAACGGCGGCAGCUGGCAGCUGGAAGUUUCUGGCGAAGGGGGAGAGAGCACGGGAGGGAGAAGGAAGAGAAAAGAGAGAAGAAGAGAAAGAGAGGGAAAUGGGUUGGGCCUCUCCAACCGGUCCAACUCCACCAUUAUACCCAACUCCCACAAAAUAAAACACCCCGAAAAAUAAUACCCGAAUAAAAAUUACCUUUUACUAGCUAAAAUUUACCAUUUUUACCAUCGUCAUAUUUUCCUCCUACGAAUAAUCCUCCGCACAUAAUCGUCCCCGAAACCCCUCUAGGGACCAAUUAAACUAUUAACUCAAUGACGAAGACGGUAAAAUUCUUAUUAUAACCAAGCUAGUAAAUAAGGUAAAAUAUAAGGGUCGGGAUGUGACACUUACGGUGUCGCCGGCGAAGAAGAGGAAAGUGGGACGCCCUCUAGGUUCUAAGAACAAGAAGGGGAGAAGGGCAUCGUGGCAGGCACUUGAGUCGGGGCAGCUAGAACCUAAGAGAGCUACACUAUUGGAAAAAAACACCUAGGAGAUGGAAUUAUUUCGUCUCCUAAGUGACAGAUUUCGUCUCCUAAGUACUUAGGAGACGGAAUGUCCGUCGGCUAAGAUCCGUCGCCUAAGUAUGGUAAGGUAGACACUUGGGCGACGGAACCUAAAAUUCCGUCUCUUAAGUGGUUCUUAGGAGACGGAAUAUUUUCGUCUCCUAAGCACUUAGGCGACGAAUUUUAUUUUAUAAUAAUAAUAAAAAAUUAUCCACUUAAGAGACAGAAUUGUUGAAUUCUGUCGCUAAAGGCUGAAAAAAAAAUUAAAAAAAAACGUCACUGCAGGUUUUUUAUCCACUCACUCCGACCGCCCCAAAUACCACCACCACCACCACCACACUAAUUUGCCUCAAAUAUGCCACCGGCACCACCAUCACAUCCUAACCAAUCACGUUAGGCUUCCCUAACUGGUUGUUCUGAAACUCCACUGCGACUCUGUUGUCCUUCGUCUUCUUCAAUGAACCCGGCUUCAUCUUGUCAAUCGACGCCGGCUUGAAUUCAUCUGCAAAAUCACAAAGGAAACGGAUCCGAUCAGAUAAAACAGAGGAGAAGAGAAUGGACGGUUGUGAUCAAGGGGAUUACAUCGUAGGGUGCAUAACUUGCUGGAGGACUCGUCUUUGAAGGAGGGGCCUAGGGUUAGGUUGUACCACCGAUCGGGUUGAGGAGCGGUCUUGGGCUCUUCCUUGGCGUUACUUGCCAUGGCGGGUUUAUCGAAGGAGGAGAAGAGGAGCGGUGUGGUGCGGUCCAGCGAGGCUAGCUGACAUGGCAAGAUCAAAGUGAGGAGGACCACCGGUGAGGAUUUAGGAGGAGGAGAGGAGAGGCCAGCAUGAGAGUGAUGGUUUAGAGAGAAAGCUCUGGGAAAAGAAGAUAAGUGAGAGAAUUGAUAUGUGAUUUAAAAGAAUCGGUAUGUUUUGAAAAAUUUUGGUUUGAAUUUUCAUGAAAUUUUACGUCGGAACAUACGCGCUCAAAUUUUUAGAACUUAAGCGACGGAAUGUUUUAUUUCCGUCGUCUAAGUGAUUCAUAAUUUUUUUUUAAAAAAACAUUUCGUCUCCUAAGUUCUACUUAGGCUGCGGAAUAUAGUUCCGUCUCCUAAGUGAUUCAUAUAAAUUUUUAUUUUUAUUUUUUCAAAAUCUCGUCGUCUAAGUAAAAAUAUUCCAUUUCCUAAGUAGCAUUUAAGCGAUAGAAUGGAAUUAUGUCUCCUAAGUUGUUCUUAAGAGACAAAAUCAAAAUAUUUCAUCUCCUAAGAACAACUUAGGAGACGGAAACUGUUCCGUCUCCUAAAUAGAAUUUUUCGUCGCUUAAGUACCACUUAGGAGACGGAAUUUUUUAAUUCCGUCGCUUAAGUGCUAUUUUCCAGUAGUGCUAAGAGGAGGACUUUUGAGGCUAGGAGGGCACUGGUGCUGGGUGAGGUUGUUGCUGGCAUGGUGGUUUCAGUCUUGGAGGCUGCUCUGGUUGGUAAUGAAGGUGAGGUAGAGGAUUCGGGGUCUUGGGGGCAAUUUCGCCUUCGUUUGUUGCUAGCUCCUCCUCUGAGGAGUCUAGUUCCGCUUAAGCUCUUAUUCUAGAGGCAAAGAAUAAGUUAGGUUCUUGUGUGAGUCGACCUCGCCUAUAGUUUAUGGCAUUAAGAUGCUUAGGGUGUUUAGGUUUUAGGUCUAAGUUUUUUUUAGUUUUUUGGCAUGGUUCAAUUAUUUCGAGCCCAUGAGGGCGGAUUGUGUUUGUUGUACUUUUACUUUCAGUUUAUUAACGGAGUGACAUCCUUUUUCAAAAAUAAAAAAACUCUUGCUAUCUAUUUUUUUUUUAUUAAUUUUUUUAUUAUGAUGUUUGUUAAAAUUUCAUGCGAAAGCAGCGAAACAUACUAAAACUUCAUUACUCUGAAUUCCAAACGAGACGUAUUAAGAUUAGGAUUGAAUUUUUCAGAUGUGACACAAUACAUGUAGGAAGCUUGGAUGGAAUAGUACCGUACAGGCGUACAUUGGUAGAAAAUUAAGGUAACUAUCCAAACUUCCAUCAUUGAAUGGUUUACACACCACCCUCUACGUACAAUUUCUAAUCUGUUUGCACCUGAAGUUAGAAUCUUCUAACUUUCUAUGAUCUAUCAUUUUCACAAAACCUCUGGUUCCUUGCUUUGCUAAAAUUGGUAUCUACAAUUAAACUCUAACCUAACUUGCUAGCUUGAACAUUUACAUGACAGAAAAGUCAUCAUCAAGGCCGUCUAGUUCUCCUUUUACACUGUUUUGUUGAAUGAUUAAAACUGAUGUUCUGACUGAAAAUUCAGAACCCGCAAGAACAUCACCAAUCGGACCCAACUCCGGACACUGCUGCCAGUCAUUCAUCCCAAACGUCAAAACUGUAUUCACCCUUUCCCCUCUUCCCACUAUUAUAAGUGAGUACUGCCCAUCUAAUGCCAUCAAGGUAUUAUAAGUCUCAGAAGAAUUGGCAAGAUGCUUCUCCAUGUAAGCAACUUGCCCACAUGCAACAUGUCUCUCGUAGAACUUAGCAAAGCACUCAUCAUCAAACUUCAUUUCCUCUUCUUGUAGAGCACGGCUGACCGGGUAAUGGCCAGGUCUACUUGACGCAUUUGUGGUAGUGUCCACCAAAAAUCUUAAGAUGGUGAGUUUUACACCAGGAUGUCGUGCUACAAGACCGGCAUAGGCGAGUGCUUCUCUAUCAUCUUUUCCACCAAUGAAGAUGACAGCCAUAUCGAUAGAAUGAUCAUAAGAUCUUGAUAUUUUUUCAAUCAUUCCAAAACCUCUGUCUACAAGAAUUCCUAUGGAGCAUGGAGCAUUUUUGAGGACCUGUUAAUACCAUAGUCAUCAGUAACUGGUCAAUGCGAAGUAGAAGAGUAUUCUAAACUACAUAUAUAUGUCCAUGAAAGAUAACCAAUGUAUCCAAAAGGUUGUGAAUAUAUAGGCUUCUAAGCUAGCUAGAGCAUACACUUAAAGGAGCAAACCCUGGUCUUUGAGCAGAUACUAUGUUGUAGUAACUAAUUAUAGUGGUGUAUCUACAUAUGCAAGUAAAAUUUGCAUAAAUGAGAGCAAGUAAUACAGCCUGCUCAGAGUUUACAAGGUUAUGUGGUGAAUCAUUGUUUAGCAGGAUUGUAUGUUUAUGCUUUAAGAUGGGAAGUGAUCCCGUGAAAGUGUUCUGGAAUAUGUUUUCAGCUAUAAUUGUACAAACAGUACAAACUGUAUAUAGAUUCAUUCCAAAUACGAUCAUGGUGUUAAAAUUCUUGAACUGCUAAAUAUGUGACUGUUAAACAAAAAACAGAGAGAGAAGCAGUAUUCUGUUGCACAUUACCUUACGGUUCACAAAUCUGAAACCAGAAUGACCGCCAUCUAAUGUCCCAUCUGCACUUUGUGUCUUGUGAAAUGGCAAUAUGAUGAGGGCCACCGUCGAGUCCUCAGCCAAAACGCAUAUAUCUUGGGGCAUGCCAUUGAAAGUCGAGAGUGCAAGCAAUCGUCCUAGUGUAAUACCAUUAUCGUCUUCUUCUACAUAGGAUUGAAUUGCAGCAGUGACUUGAGCUCUCAUGUCUGUUACCGCCUUUUCAGUCACAGUCAUUGUGUUCACUCCUUGUUCUUUAACUAGUGUUGCUGCUAUUUGGUCCGUAAGUUCUAUCAUGUCUGUUACAAAUACUACAACUCCAGGGUCUGCUGUCCCUCUACAUAGCUCAAUGAAGUUAAUCGCAGUACGCACAUUUUGUGGCCCAUGAAGGCAUAGUAAUAUGCGUAGUUCGCUUGAGGGGUCAAGCAACUGAAGUGACAUCCGAUGAGUGGGUGCUCGUCUCCUUGCACGCUUAAUAAUUUGUGCCACAACUGACGGGGCGUGCACCACAGUGAAAAAAAUAGCUAUUACCAUCACAGUACUGGUUGAAGUAGAGGUUUUUCCAUACUGCAGUUGAUCAAAAGAGCAAAGAAAACAAAGAUCAUUAUGGUUCAAAAUGUGACAGUAAGAGGAAUAUAUCAAUAUGCAUGAGAAUGAAUGUUGUAUUUGGUAUUUGUAAGAUAACUACAGUUCUGUCACUGGGUUCAAUUUAAACAUACACUAUUUAUUUCCAAUACGAACACAUACAUUACUUGGCCUAACGGAACAGAAAGAAUUCAAUCAGUUUUCUAUUGACUCAACUUGUUCAGCUUCAUUUUGGAAGAGACAUUGCGAACAUUGUUAGUUGAUCAAGUUAUCUUUUAUAAUUGUUCAUGUAAAAGUGUAAAUUGAAACAAAAUUCUCAUGCAUUUACUUUCAUACCAUGAAAAAGACAAGAAAAUUUUAAUGAUGUAUCGUACUUAUAGAACUUUCAGCUAGGAUUGGAUGGAGAUGCAAAGAACAUGAAGUUUAAACUGUGUCAUAACUCAAGAAAUGAAAUGCUUCAUUCAGGAAUUAGUUUACAUGGAAAUUGGGCAACAAAAACCAAGGACAUGGGAUAAAAGCAGAGGUGUCGUACUAACCGAUUUUGCAGCAAUGGCCAAGUAUAUAUGAAAAUGGCCUUUGGUUGUGAGAAGAAGCCCUAGUGCAACAGAUUCAGGCCAGUUAAACCCCAAGAGGGCUCCAGAGAUGACUGUUCCUAAAACUUUUCCGACUGUUGCUAUAGCAAAAACAACAAAUAACCUUGCCCAUGUCAUCCAGUCAAGAGGCUGGAAUUCUGCAAAAUAAGCUUCAUACCCCAUCCAAAAGAAAAAAAUGGGAUAGUAUAUGGUACUCAACAAGUAGUUGAUCUUGCCUAUCACCCACUUUGACACUCUUCCUUCCCUUGGUAAAAAGAUUCCUGCCAUAAAUGCACUCAAAAUAGAACUGUACCCAAAAUAUGAUGGGCAGGCCACAGCGAAGGCCAUGAAAGCCAUAGAGAGGACUAGAUGUGAGCCUUUCAUGGGUUUGCCUUCGGGGUUUUCAUUGUUAACCCAGUUCAUGAAGAUUGGUGAAACAAAGGCUGUAAAAACUGCCGUGAUCAACAAUGCAAUACCCAUCUCAAGGGAUCUAUGAAGGCUGCUUUUUUUAUCUGCAUCUUCAACAGGCCAAAUGACAAAGCCAAUGGAGAGGAGAAGAGUGGCUAUAAAAUCAGAGUGCAUUCCUGUAGCAAUGACGAGCUGGCCUAUGUCUGACUUGCCUAUUUUGAGACUAGUUAUUAUUCGUGUCAGUACAGGCGAAGCCGUGCUCGAAAGGACCAUGGAGAGGGAGAGAGUGAAGUCAAUCUUAAAACUUUCUGUAUAGUGCAGAAAUGGGGUUAUUCCACAGGCUAGGAUGAAUGUGGAGAGCAUACCAACAUAGGCCACUUUCGCGUCUUUGGUUGGUAGUUUCAAAAGCACAUAUGGAUCCAUUUCUAUUCCUAGCACAAGCAUGUAGCCAAUCAUUCCAAAUUCAACCAGGUAACGCAAUAUAUGCUUUGAUGACUGUGAUAAAACACCACGUAUGAACCCUAUGUUUCCGAUGACUAGUCCUACCUGCAUUACAUAAGAGAUAAGAACUUAAUCACCAUAGAAGGCCGUGCGAUACUGUAGAAAAGAAAACAGCAUCUAAAUCAACAUUUCAUAUUUAAAAUGAUUAGCAAGUGAACACUUUUGUGAGUCUCUCUUGAUUCGGAUCAAAAUUACUGAUACUCAGAAGGAUGCAUAUGAAGAAAAAGAGUGCUUCUGUUUGUGGUUUAGCACACCACAUAGCAUGUAAAACUAUUUCUCCAUGAAACCCUAAACCAAUUAAAAUCUGGGUUGCUUGCAACUCAAGUUUCUGCAGAGAACAUUUACCCUAAUUAACACAACUGGUAUUUUCAUAAACGGUUUAAAUUACAAUGUUGGGUUCCAAUAAUGAGCAAUAGGGGCGCUUGUCUAAUAUUCAAUAAAAAAUUUGAGAUUGCCAACCUCAAAAAAUAAGGAAAAAAGAGAAGAAAGGGAGAGAGACUCACAAAGGUAUCAGAGGUAAUGCGAGGCUGGGAAUAAGGCUUUAGCAGGUAGUGCGAAAGAUGACAGAGAAUGUACAUUAAGAAGAAACCUGCAACAUGAAUGGCUACAUGUGUGAUAAGCUUUGUUAAUUGUACUGAGCAUCCAUCAGGAAUGUCAUUUGUAUCAACACCACCCUCUUUUCUGUUUCUCACCUCCAUUUUCUUCAACCCCUUUGCUUUCUUCUUUGGGUUUUCUAUUUCCCCAAAGAUUUUCUUUUUCUUUUUCUUUUUCCCUUUCUCAAAAGUUUGCAAAUGAUUUGUGCCACCAUUGUUGUUUGUCUGGACCUUGGCUUUUCGCAAAAUGAGUUAGCGGCUCUAAUCAAUUGCCUUGUUUGAGGAGAAAUUGAAGGAGAACUAGUAGAAAUUCUGAAAUUGUACGACUUUUAAAAAAUUAUUGGGAACAUUUUAAUUUUGUUUUUUUAAAUUUCUUUUGCGUUUGAUACCAAGGGGAAAAAUUAUUUUGGUUUCCAUUGCUACUGAUUGGUCUGAGGUGGGAAUUUUGGUUGAAGAUCUUAAAGCUAUUAUGGGAUAGGCAUCUGUUUCUGCUAUAAUACAUGUAAGAAUAGAACAACAGCUAAUCAAGUGGCGCACCUCUUAGCUCAAAUUGCAUCACAUAGGCGUUCCCAAUAUUUGUACCUACCCCUUCUCAUGAUGCAUGCUUGAUCAUUAAGGAAUUUGAACCAUUCUUUGCAAAAGAAAAAAAAAGAAAAAAAAUAUGGGCAUAGCAACUGCUAUAUUUCCUUCAUUUCUGUAAAAUCUUGAAUGGGCUAGUUAAAUUUCUCUGAGACUGUUUUGUGAGUUGGUACUUGGUUCUUCCUGUGUAAACAGGGAGGUGGAGAAACUGAUGGUUACAAAUUGACACACAUAUUUUCAUUUCAAACUAUCAAAUGUAAUACCAGCUUCAAGUACACAGCAGCAUGCACUUCUACCACUUCACUAGCAACGGCACACUGUGGGUUAACCAAAAUUAUGGACAGAAUAACCAAAACAUAUAGCUGCACACUGUAGUUUAAAGUUUAAGCAAUGUCAAAAGGGCAUAAAAAGAAGCAAGUCUAAGAAUAAUUUGGACAUCUAGCUAUGUCUUAGAAACAUAAGAAACAAAUGAAGUCCUAAAUGUAAAACAGAAGUCCCACACAGCCAACAUGCCCAAACUGAUCUUCAUUAUUUUUACAUUAAGCACAGGUUACUGAGACUUCUUCGACCCUUGCCUUCUCCGCAUUUUCUGUCCACCAGGAUGAUCAAGCUUCACCAGUAAAAAACAAAGUCAGCCAUGACCAACUUUCCUAUCUUGAAAAAUAUGCAAUGAGAGGGAGUGCAAAGACAGACAUUACAGGCUCAUGAACUUGAACUUAAUAUAUAUAUAUAUAUAUAUAUAUAUAUAUAUAUAUAUAUACGUACGUNNNNNNNNNNNNNNNNNNNNUCACCUGGGCUUCUUUGACAAUAGAGGCACUACUAGACUCCUUUGAUUCGAGAGUAGAAUAAACAGCCUCACAGAAAACAUUAAGACUUUCUAGUCUCUUUUCCAUCUCUAGGCGAGUUUUGUGCAGCUUAAUGUUGGCCGCCUUGUCGGACCUACUCUCUAGCUCGUCCAACAUACGCUCUGAUUCUGUCUGCUCUAUUUCCUUAUUCUUCUUAUAUUCAGCAUACUGAACUCGACUCCUGUCAUAAAUCUCCUUUAGCUGCAAAUAAAGCUGGAAAGAUAAAUGCUGGUUUUCGUAUCAAACAUACCGUUGCACAUAAUACUUGAAUCCCUAAAGCAACUUGAGCAUGGCAGAUUGCUGCUAGAGUCAUGACCUAAGUAGAAAACAAACAGAACUCUCAGUUCAACAUAUCAUACAUUGAAACUAGGAACAGACCAAUGCCAUAGUCUGCAUUGAGGAGAUAGAAGUCUUACCUCGGAUUCAUGCUGCUCCGUACGCUUCAAGGACAUGCUCAGAGCCUCGAGUUCCUUUUCAAAUUUAGAUGGUAGGGUCAAAUUACAAUCUACUUGAAUUGUUUUGUGAGGGCAGCUGCAGCUCUUUGUUUUGCCUGUUCCGCAAGCUUAUAUUUGUCAUGCAAGCACUGAUUCUUUUGCAAUAGCUGCAGCGUUUCUUCCUGGCAUUCAUUAAUCUGCCGCAAAAGCAUUAGUUUCUAUAACUCUAUAACUACUCACUCAAGGGUGAUACUUAAUUACUUAUAACAUACAUAUGAUCAAAUAUAAUCAUAAACCUUGUUUUUAAGCUCCAAAACCUGGUCGUUCAUGCUGGACAUCCCGCCCCUUCCUAUCAGAAAAAAAUUAAGGCAUUAAAAAAACCCUAACCUGGAUUCGAUUCAAUUUCAAAUUGACUGCAAAUUUAAAAGGAAAAAAGAGGUUUAUUACGGUAUAUGCAAUGGAUAUACACGAUUACCUAGUUGUUCUCCAGAACUUGAUUGUAUUGUGUAUUUGUGUUCAAAGCGGAACCAGAUCACUGGGAUGAAAGUGAGUCGGGAGAGAAGCAAAUAAGAGAGUCUUGAUUCUGCAACUGUACUCCUUCCUCUCUUCUCAGUUCGAUUUGUUUGUGUCAGUUGAUGUGUAGGGUUUCCAGUCUUGGACUCAGUCGGCCACUCUAGACCCAUGAGUAGUAUUUCUAGGCAAAAAAAUCCUCCCACAAAAUAAUGUAUAGGUUGUAUUUGGAUAGAGUAAUCUCAAUUUAUAUAGAAGUUUCAAAAUCAUGGGAAUUACAAUUCCGUGUAUUCAAAUUCCAUUAAUUAAAAACAUUGUUUGGAUUUCAGGACAUAUAGUUUUAAAAUGACAAGAAUUAAUAUUUAAUCAAAAAUAAGGGUUUUUUAGGGUUUAGGUUUAUGGCUUAUUAAUUAGAAUUCUCAAUUAAUGGAAUUUAAAUUCAUGGAGUGUAAUUCCCAUGAUUUUGAAAUUUAUGUGGAAAUUGAAAUUACUUUUACUUUAUCCAAACACAACGUGAUGGAAUUGAUAAAUGACGCCUAUGUUGUGAGAAAUUCAAGUCGGGAAUUUAAGCUCUCAAAUUCUACGAUUAUUUUCCAUUGAGAAUUGCUAAUUUCAUACGAUAGGAGUCCAAACGCGGGAAAAAGAUCUAUUUUUCUUUAAAUUCCCUCGCUUCUUCCCUCUUCCAAACACACUGUUGAGAGAAAGCGAAAGAGCUGGGGUUUCGAUCUGUUUAGAUAUAAAUAUCCGAUUGGGGUUUGCGUUCCCAAUUGGGAUUCAUUUCCGUAAUAUUGGAAUAGGCUAGGGUUUUGUUAAAAAUAGGGGAACGAUGUCCAUGGAGGAAGAGGUUUUGAAGCUCAAAGAGAAGGUUUGGUUUGGUCUAUUGUUAUUAUUACUAGCGGUAUCCGAUCUCUAAUAUUACUAGUUUGCAUUAUUGGGUUCUAACAAUUGGUGCUACUGCAUCUCCUGUCAGCUCUCUCAAUGCCAACUCGAAAGGGAUCGGCUCCGGACCCAGAACGAGACUUGGGUGAUCAAGGAGAAACUUAUCACGCAGGAAAAAGAACAACUAGAUCAGAGAAGCUCAGAGUUGAAAUAGAAGCGAAUUUGUGCGCAACAUCUGAAUUUGAGACAAAGAAGAAGCCUCUCAAGGAGGCCUUGGACGCCAAAACCGAGAGUCUACGUCAGGUAAGUUAGAGAUGUACGUAUACAUGACUCUGGUCAUGCUAGUUUAGUCACUUCUAAAUAUGCUUUUUUUUGGCAGCUACGAGAGGCACUCAAAGAGUUUAGAGAUACUCAUGAAUUGGCUUAUAUGGAAGCACGAUCAGCCAUUGCCGAUGAAAGGAUUGAUAGAGUGUAUGAUAUCCCAAAGGCAGAGAGAAAAAAGCUGGCCGAGCUACGUUCAGAGAUAAAUGAGAAACGGGACAAAUUACUUGCUUUUCUUAAGAUGUGUGUGAAACAUUCAAAGAUCACUACUGAUGAUGUAAAACCUUUGCUCCGAGUCCAUUAUGAUGCAUAUAUUGACACACUCAAGACUGAUGUUGAUGAUGGCGCUGUGGGAUGUUAAGAAGGUAUGCGCGUCGUGUUCUACAACCCGGUUUUGCUCAGAAGCUAUAUAAAGUGAUGUUUGCCGGGGGUCGAUUUGAUAUCUCCAAUUUCACCUGCAAUUUCAUUUACUUUUAACAUCUUCGUGAGGAAAGAGAGUGUCCAAUGGUUCUCUAAGAACGCAAGUCUGCUACCGAUUAACAAGGUCAUAUAUUUUGUGCACAAUGACACUGGUACUGUUUGGACUACUUUUUAGGACAUUCUCAAUUCUCUCUGUUUUUGGUUUUUUCACUCAGAAGUCAGUUUUUGGAUGUGGUGUAAGCGACUUUCUGAUGUGAUUUUACUGGUGAAGCAUAAACAUCCUGUAAGAGGAAGAGAGGACGACGAGUAUGAACAUCCUGUCCAGGCCGGCCUCAAUAGCAUAGAAGCUUUGGAACUUUUUUUUUUUGAAACCGGAAGCUUUGGAACUUUAUUAUAAAGUAAAAAGAUGAGGACAUGUUGGAGUCUGCCUCCCUCUCCCUCUAUAUAUAUAGAGAUUUUCUCAGCUGCGGACGUCUGCACCGAUUUUUUGGUGCGGAUUUCUAUUUUUACACCACUUUCCGAUCGAAUUUCCUUAAACUUUCUUCUAGACAUAUCUAGAUCAUCAUGUGUAGAUCAUCUCUGCAAAAUUUCAGCCAAUUUGGUGAUCGUUAAGGCCCUCAAAAUCGAAAAACAAAUUUGACGGACUAAAUUCUGUCCGAUUCAGGUAUAUAACAGAAAAACGCAAGUUUGAGGGUCUUAACGAUCACCAAAUUGGCUGAAAUUUUGCAAAGAUGAUCUACACAAGAUGAUCUAGAUAUGUCUAGAAGAAAGUUUGAGAAAAUUCAAUCGGGAAGUGGUGCAAAAAUGGAAAUCCGCACCAAAAACUUUGGUGCUUUGGUGCGGACGUCCCAUAUAUAUAUAUAUGAUUUCAAGAUUACGAUUAUAGUUUUGCUGCGGUGCUUACUAAAUUAGAAAACUAUUUCUUUCAAAAAAAGAAGAAAAGGCAUGGGUUGCAGGCUCGCAGCACUACUCACCCCCACCCUGGACAUGUGCCUCAGUACCUGAAUAUAUGUAACCUUUCAAAGUUUAUACACCAACCAUGACAUGUUGAGCACUGUACACCUACAACUAGUCAAGUACUCCCACCCUACUUUGGUGUCUGAAAUAUAGCCAAUAAAAGGUAUGUCAUAAACCUCUCAAAGUUUAUACGUCAUCCAUGAUGGCACACUAUAUAUCUACUAAGAUCUCACUAAUAUUAUCUAUCCAAAAAUAAAUGGCGGUACUGUCAUCCAAAAACAAAAUUGUAUCCAAUAACGAUGAAUCUGCAGACUGCUUGCUCAUCUACAAAAUCACAUCUCCCAUGCCAAUCACUGCCUAUAACAGAAUAAAUAAUAUAUAUAAGCAGCUGAACAAAACACUAGUAGAACUUUCAGAAAUAUUCAAGCAAUUGCGUUAAGUAAAUACCUCAGAAAAAGCUCGACGAUAACUAGAUCCCCAAAAUAGGCUCGACUAGAAUUGUCAUUGCAACCGAAUACGAGGUAGUACAGAGAGGGAUCCAGAAUGUGGCAAACAGUCUGCCAUGUGUAGUAUGGAAGGAAAAAUCACCAUAACCGGUGGAGGUCAUAGUCAUCACUGUAAGGUGUAAGAUGACAAGAAUAUCUGCCCAUACAGAUGGAUAAGAAAGAGAUGCACUAAGAUGCUGCUGCUCAGACAAGGAUGUCCUAAGUGCCUCCAGCUCAAAACUAUAUAUCCCUAUCAUCCCUGACAACAGAGUCACCAAGAUCAUUCCAAUAGCUGAAAUAACUCCAUAAAAGAACCUCGUAGGUUCAGGGAUAAACUUCUGACCAAACCAUAGUGCUACGCGACGCAGAAAAUGACUGAUAACAAUCGGCACAAAGUACCCAAGCACGGGCAACAUAUCACAGAGAAUAAGAGCAAGAGCUGACUCGGGAGGAAUAUCACCAAAUCCAACCCCAUGCACCGUAACAGAAGUUGCAUAGUAUGCAUCAGUAGCUGAGCCUACUCCCUUGUCAAUGUCCAUCAUAAAAUGCAUAACAAAGAGACCGGCAAGCAUCCAGAACAUGAACACAUAAACAAGAGACAUAUAAGGCAGCCUGCAAAGUGCACGAAAAAGCAAAUGUUGACAAUUGAAAAUCCAAAUAGGAACUUCCUUAAAUGCAAAUAACAAACCCAGAAGCAAUAAGAAAACAAAAGAGGAUGGGAAGGCAAGUACUGGAUGAGAGUAUUAAGUAAGUUUACAUCUGAUCAAAUCCUACGGAUAAGACUAGAGGAGAAUUGUGGUGUUCUAAUUAUGAAGUGUUGGAUAGGUUUAAAUAUAAAGUUUGUAUAUGUUAUAACAAGAAAAACCUGUGUUCCUGUGGUUGAGAGCAUGCAAAGCUAUGGAAUCAGCUACUGAAUCAGCUAGAUAUACAACGCUACUCACUAGCUGUGGCAACUUUGAAUGGUAAGAGAUGAAGUAAUCUUUAAACAUAUUACCCCCUAACCCUGCAUCAGUAGUGACAGCUCUUACCUUCAAUCCACUAUCAAGUGGAAACCUCCUAGAGGUUUCAUCAUCAGAAACUGUAAUGGUAGAGAGUUGCAGCUACAAAAGGAAUGGGGAAAACUACUGUCCCGUAGUUGAAGGCUUGAAGCUAUAGCUUUAUGUAUGCUAGAAUGUGUUGAGUUGGUUCUUUCAGAAGCUUUACUGAGAAUGUAUCUUAUCUGCUAUAGAAAUAGCUUACAAGAAAGUCCUAAGAAUGAUUCCAAGUUUACAAGAAAGUCCUAAGAAUGAUUCCAAGCUUACAAGAAAGUCCUAAGAGUCUUGCAAGAGUCAUCAAUUUUAUGAAAAAUAUUAUGAGUCUAGUGCCUACAAGAGUCUUGCAAGAAUGAGCCUAAUGCUUCUAAAUCUUGGAAUUUCGGAAACCAUAAGUAAUACACAACAGUUGAUUACAUGAUCUAACAUCUCAUUUUGGUCAAUACAUGAUCUAAUAUGAACUUCCACAAUUUAUAUAUAACUCAAGUGCCAGAGAAUUAUAGGUUUGAAAGAAAUACCAGACAAGAGAAUCCAUAAAUUCAGAACUUACUGAGCAGACGCCUUGGGCCCCUUUUUCUUUGGCCGAGUUUUCUUUCCAGCAAGUCUGGCUUUGCAAUCAUCCAGCUCUUCAUCUCUUUCCUUGAGCGUGUUCCGGGUCUCUUUCAGCUGUCUACUGAGAUCUCUCACAUUGUUGCGCAACUCCUUGACAGUCCGAAUCAGUCUACGAAUUUCCACCUGCAAUACCUCUGCAUCUGCUUCCGCCAUGCCAAGAGUUAGGGUUUACAGAGAGAAAUGGAGGUUGCGUGAGACGAGUUAGGGUUUUACUCAGAAACGGAGAUUGGGGAUUAUGGAGCUCGGAUUCGGACCAAAACGCAAAGCUCUGCGUUUUGCUCAAAUCCGCGCUCCGCGUUCACAAACUCCGCACCUGAGAAUUUCACCAGUAUUGGGAUGCAAAGCAGCCGAGGGGGUAUAUAUUAAUUUUGUUUGGGGAUUUGGGUCCUCAUCGUAUCCCUUUUGUUAAUCCAGUUUUUAAUACCGGACAAUAUGUUGCAAAAUCCGUGUCCAACACGUCAUGUGGCGUGUCUAAAAAAGUUGACUUUUUGAACACUUUUUCGGACACGUUGACCAGCUCCGACAUGCCACGUCAACAUUUCAGAAUUUAAAAAAAAAAAAAAAACAAUUAGCUAACUGGGACGCGCAGCACUAGCAGAGAUAGAUUCGAUCUCUUGACUCUUCUCUCCUUUGAUUCAAUCUCUUGACGCAGCAUGCGUAGCCCAUCGGAAAACUGUUUUAGCUCCUUCGCGACGGGUGGUUCUAAAAACGAGCUUGACUGGAUCAAGUCAUCGGGUAGAGCGGCGAGUUCAGGAUUCAAAGUUGUAGUGGCUUGAUGCGCCAACACUGAUGAACACAACAGCCUUGUGAGCUUGGGAGCAAAUUUGAUCACCGAUCGGGGCUUCAAGGAAAAGAUUGCAGAUGGAAGAGAAAGGGAGCAGCUUGUGAUGACUGGUGAGAAAGACAAUAUUCCAUGUGAUUUGAAACUAAAAUUUGAUUUCAGUGUGAAGAAAAGAGGUGGAUUGUUUCUGUAUCCAGAAAGAAAAGAGGUGGAUAGGAUUGGGUGGGGUUUGAUCAGAUACAGAGAGAGAGAGGGAUAUUGGGUCAGGAAUAAAGAGAGAGAGCGGUUGCGUGUGUUCUCACGCAAAGAAAAAAAAUAACCUAAAAAUAUAUUAUAAUUUUUUAUUUCAUCUUUUUAGUAUUUUUUAUAUAUUAAAAAUACAUAAAAAUAUGUAUUAUUUGCCGUGUCCAAGCCGUGUCGGAUCUUGAGUUUUUGGGAUUUGCCGUGUCGCCGUGUCGCUCCGUGUCGUGUUGUCGUGUCCGUGUCCGUGUCCGUGCAACAUAGCUCGACAUAUAUGUAGCGCUGACAUUGGUAGGUAUACUGACUUUGUAUACCAAUAUGACGAAGUAGUAUCAAGAGAAAUUCUUCAUCGAAGUACGAUAGCAUAUUCAUGUACUUGUUACAAUAUGCUUGACUCGACAUCUCAUUCACGGCCAAGUUCUCCUUAGUCUUUCAACUCUUUUCCUAACGGUCGAGCAGCUUCGCUCCCACUUAGAUGAGUGUGAAUAAAUGUCAAGGUAGUGGCUCGAUGUGCCCAUGUAAUGCCAAUGUAAUGGCAGUAAUUCCUUCUAUGAAGGGUUUAGGCUUAUUCAUCCCUACAGAAAGAUACAUCAAAGACAAAUCAAAAUAUGCCCAGUUUCGUAGGUCAAUUUCCACGGGACCUACAUGAUAGCCCAUUCGUUCUAAAAUGGUGAAAUUAGUACCAUUGGAAAGGUUUAUGUGUCUACUUUUCAGGAACACCAACCAUUUGAUUACACUUGUCAUAUUGGGUGAGUUAUGACUAUUUUCGUAAAGUAAGACGAAUCUGUCUGCAUAUCUGCUUUUGUAGAAUUGUCAACUUCGACAGAGCUUUAUGAUCGGCUCAGAAUAUGGUUGGAAAACUACGGGUGUCUAGUUUCUAAAACUUUUUACAGUUUGUCCAUACCUAUUGUAUGGAAGAAGUUAUGACUGGUUAAGUACAAGAAGGUCAUGCCACGCGUGAAUAUGAUUUUUAACACGAACUUAUGUUUUGAGUUGUUAGACAACCUUCUCCUUAAAGAUAAAAAAUAAUGCUAAGUAUAGCAUGUAUGAUCUAAGGACAAUGUGGCUGGAUUUAAUGACUAAAUCGUUGUCCAAGUCUACUUUUAAGUCUACUUUUAAAGUACGUAAAUUGUAUUGGGUUGCGUUGUUUAUCUAAACUUCGAGAUUGAGUUAUCAAUCAAGGGAAGUCGUUGUGUAGACAUCAGGGAGAGUCUACAUCACAUGUUUGCUUCAAAUAUAAUUGACGCGUUGUGCUCUUUUUACCUUCGUGAAAGUCUUUUGUUUUACCUAUAAGGUUUUUAUUUUACUUGAUAAAGUUUUUACUGAGACAAUACCAUAAACACCGUAACGUAUUAGGAACGUAACACAAGAGAGAUUAUGUUUUUAUUAUUCAGUCGGUCAUGUGUAGUGCCCUGAUACAUGUAGGAUCAGGUGAUUCGUUUUCCUAUUAGAAUAGGUGACAGUAUUCUUACAGGGUACUGAUGUUAGAUCGAAUUGACUUAAAUGGGUAUAUAUGCUCUCACAAAUAAAUGCUUUUCAUCGCAAUCGCAGAAAACUGACGCGAGUGAUCGGCGCUAAGCACAGAAACGAGAGAGAGGGGAAUUCCGAUUAGCCGGAUUUGGGAAUUCCGAUUCACGUCCCUGGUAGCGGUUUCUCUACAGAGAUAGAAAUCAGAUCGAGUCACGGCCAGGGUUUUGGGGAUUCAAUUCAGCGUAAUACCGGAAUUCGGAUCAAGUUGAGGUUAUAGGGUUCGAAUUGGGUAGUUUGAUUAUAGGGGAAGGAUGUCAAGUGAGGCAGCUGGCCCCAUGGACGUUGACGAAGAGGUUUUGAAGCUCCAAGAGAAGGUUUGCAAAACUGUUGUUUAUUAUUCGAUCUCUAAUAUUACUACUAGCUAAGUAGCUAGAUUUCAUUAGAUUAUUAUGCAUUCACUUGUAACAAUUGGUGGUGUCAGCUUUGUCAAUGCCGACUCGAAAGGGAGCGGCUCUUGCAAGAGAAAAAGAGAUGGAGGAUCAAGGAGAUACUUGUGCAGCGGGGAAUAGAGAAAGUAGAAGAAAAACUCAGAGUUGAAAUAGAAUCGAAUUCGGGUGCAACAUCUGAAUAUGAACAAAAAAGGAAGACACUCGAGGAGGCCUUGGAGACCAAGAAGAAGAGUGUACUUAAGGUAUGAUUUCUUUGGACCAUCUCAUUAUGUUAAGUGCAAUAUCUGGUGCUAAAUAUGCUUGGACAUCUCAAGUUUCAACUUUCUGGUUUGAUGCUUUUUUGGCAGCUACGAACCGCUACCAAAGAGUUUUUUGAUGAUACUGAUAUGCCUUAUAUGGAAAUGGAAGCAGAACUAGAAAAGGAAAGGGAAGAGUAUGGUAGAAUGGUUGAUGAAUACGAAUACAUAACUGAUCGCUUAAUAGCACACAGACGUAUUGUGCGCAAGCUAGAAUCACAGUUACAUGAGGAACGGAACAACUUGCUUGCUUUUCUUGAGACUUGUGAGGAAAACUUAAAGAUCACUGAUGAUGUAAAACCUUUGCUCCAAGCCCACUAUGAUGCAUUUAUUAACACACUCAAGAGUGAUGACGAUGAUUGGGACUGGUUUAUAGAGGAGUUGUAUGAUGCUCUACAACUGGAUUCUGAUCACAACAGACAUGAGAUGUUUCCCAGGGUUGAUUUUAUAUCUCCAGUUUCUGCUGCAAUGUCAAAAAUUUUAAAUUUGUUCAGAAGAAAAAAGACGGAGUCCAGUGGUGCUUUUAUAUAUUACGUAAGUUCUACCGACAAAGAUGCUAAGGUGAUAUAUUUUAUGUUCUGAACGCAAUAUUUUGUGUUCAAAUACGCUAUGUUGGUGUGUUAGUAUUUGUUUUUGAGCACAUUAGUGUUCCUCUCUUUUCAUUGUACAUGUUUUUGAUUUUCUUUUUUUAGAACUUAGAAGUUGGUUUUGAAAGUGGAAUUACUGGCUUUCUGAUGUGAUUUCUUCUUUCACUAGUGAAGCGUAAACAUCCUGUAAGAGGAAGAGAGGACGACAAGUUUGAACAUCCUGGCAAGCAUCAAUAUGAAAGAAGAUUUGGGAGUUUAUCAUAACAUAAAAAGAUGAUGUCUGUUUGCACUAUGUCGACUCUAGAUGGAACAAAAUGCGGAGGACAUUGAGAAUAUUGAAUUUUCUCAUAACAGUAACAUGUAGAAAUUUUAGCGUGUUUACCCUGAUCGUGGAGGGUUAACAAGUGCUGCACGAUGGAGGAUUAUUGGUCUAGGCCAACAUAUGUUUCUUUUGGUUGUCCUAAUGUUUCUCAUGUGUGCGGAGUAACUUGAAUUAUUUUAUUUUAUUUUCAAAUUUUCUUAGCCCUUAACAAGAUGCAUAAACCUCUCUCUCUCUCUCUCUCUCUCUCUCUCUUUGUAGUAGUUUUGUAUGUGAAUAGCAUGUGUUCAGGAGAAUUGUUUCUUGGAACUUGUGGUUAUUCAGGGACGAUUGGAGAUGGUAAACUUCUUGCUCGUGUCUUGGGUUUCGAUUUACUUUCUUGCUUUUCAGGUAAUAAUUGUCGAGAAAUUUUAAGUAUUAGAUACAAAAUUAGUAUAUUGCUUCUUAUUCUUAUUGGUAAGGUUUGGUUGCAUGAUCACUGAUGUAGUUAUUCAUUUCAGCUGUUAGCUGGAAAUUGAAUAUGUGCAUCCUUGCAUGCGACCGCCCUUUAGUCUCAGUUUAUCACGUUGGCAUGGUAAACUGUUUUCAAAUAAAGAAUUGCCUUUAUUGUAAAAAUGAAUCUGCGGUUGAUCCUGUAAGAAAAGGCAUCUCAUCCACACGGAUAAAUUUUCUAGAUUGAAUUUAAGAAGUCGUACUUCAUUAAUAUGAGAAUUAGAACACAGAAAGAUGUGGAGAUGUGCCUAUGUGGUUUGAGUUGGUACCAGGUUGUUCUUGUUGAUUUUUUUUUUUCCUCUCACUUGUUAUGUACUGGGAUUGGGACAUUUCGGUUCAGUAACAAAAAAAAAAAUAUUCAGAAUCGAGUCUGAACCGAUGAUAAAACUAGAUUGAGUUUAGUCAUUUUGAAAUGCUAGAACCGAGAAGGAUCAAAUCAUUCUGUUUCGGGUUGGUUAUUCCAGUUCCUUGGUUUGCUUUAACCUUCUGGCUUUUGACUUUGUUUCUCUGCAUUUCUGCUUCUUCUAAGGGGUCCUGUUUUUUACAAACCAAUUCUAUAGUGAUUGCAGAAGUUAUAUAUUUUCAGUACAUGCUUUUAUUGAUGUCUGAUUGUUUUCUGUAUUGACUCUUAAAUGGAACCAAAUUUGUCCAACUUGAUCCUUCAUGUUUAGAAUUGUAGAUCACAGUUAUGAAUGUAUUAGUCAUGAGUAUGUUGUCUCGUUACUGAACUCUAGAGAUAACAUGACGAUCAACAUGCCCUUUUCUUAUAUUCUCCCAAUUUCUCUACUGUUUGAAAUAGAGCUGAUAGUGAGUUAGAUUGCUAAAUCUUAGGUUAUACUUCUAUCUACUUCCAGUAACAAUGGUGGAAGCAAUGAAUUGUAAAGUUGUCCUGAAAUUUUACGUUUUGUUUUCAAGUCAUACAAAAGACCCAAAACAAGACGAUAAAAUAAGCCAUGACCUAUAGCCACCAGUAAAUACAUUCAGAUCCAUCAACCUCCUCGAUCGGUUACCCAAGCUAGUUGUGGAAGGUGGAGACUCUGUAAUUAGAGAUGCUUACACUGUAGUAGUGUAGACUCUAGUGGUUUGUGUAAUCCUGCACUGCAUUGUGCACAUUCACAUGUGGCCGGUGAAUCGGUGCAUAUAUGUUUGCUUGCCAAAUAAUAUGCUUUUGUGUUAUUGAUUGCAGGUCAGUCAGUGUUCUUUGGAACUUCUGGACUGCCAGGGUCAUAUGUUGAGCAAAGAGCUUAGCCAGAGUAUUUCUAUUUCCUGUGUUUUGCAAUCAUAUUUGUGAUUGAAAUCCGGCCGAUCAAGCCAUCUUAGAAAACCUUGAUGUUUAGGUUUUGACGUCAAUUAAUAAGAGUAUGUAUAUUAAAUGAGAUCGAGUUACCGGAAGAAUGCCUGAAAACAAACAACAAAACUCUCCUUGAGCUAUCAGAGUACUAACUAGUUUUCGGCUAAGCUAGAGAUCAAACUCAGUGCCACCUUAGGCUGAACUCCCUGAAGUUUUCUGUUAUGAUGCCCUUGUUUCAAUUUAUUUAUUUUUUGGUUUGAAAUUAAACAGUGAGAUGAAUUGAAACAAGAAACGAAACUCUAGAUGCAAAGGCAUGCUACACGGUGAAGGCAGCUUAGCAGUGUUCAUGUAGGUGACUUACCUGCUAUCUGACAGUAACUCCAGAAGAACUAGAGUGAGCCAAAAAGCUCUUAAACAACAUUCCUAUAAUAAACGUACAUCGUAAUGGAUAAUUAGAAGCGAGGAACAAAUUUACUGUUUCAAUUUUUAUAUCUGCCGACUGAUCUGUAAAAAGUAUGGAUGAUAACCAACUAGGCUUCACAAGCUGUAUAACAUGGUAAUUUUAUGAAGUGGAAUCUGAAAUGCUGAGAAAUAGUCAAAUGCUCUUAGCAUAGUAAUUGGUUAAGUUAGGUGAUCGUCCAAAGGGAUUGCAACUGGUAACCAUUGUAUUAUUGUGCACAACUCCAAGUUCUAAUUGUCAAAAGAAAUUUGAAUACAGAGCUAAGAAUGAACAGAAUAACCGUUUUGUUUUCCUUUCAUUCCCAGAUUUUCUAAACCAGACCCAAGCAACGGUAGGCUUUAAUAGCAGUAAUAGGGGAAAGAGAAUCAGACCCACUCAGCUGUUAAGCAGAGACAAUUGAGUUCACUAUUUGUACGAAUCAUUCUAGUAGAUGCCGCCUUCAUCAUUGAGGUCUUAUUGAUGUAAUUUUUUGCCAUCCUCUACCCUCCGCCCCUGCCAGCAUUCUAUUACUUUCAGGCAUAUUUUGCUGGUCUUGGAGAGGGGCAAGGGGAACCAAAUGUGGUACACCAGAAAGUUUCUCCUGAUCAAGAAUAGGCCAGAUUAGUCAACAAAUACUUUGGGAUUGUCUAUCUCUAUAUCAAAUUAGAUUAUACAUUAGAUUUAAUUAACUAUAUCCUACUAUAAACCUUUCAUUGUGUGAACUGUUAACUGUUAAGUGUAUUUCAUUUGGUUUUUUUUUUUUUUUUUGGGUUAGUUUUGGACUUCACAUAUAUGCAUGAGCAUGAAUAUAAAGAGGAUGGUUUUGCUGGUUGCAGCCAAGAAAAUCGACAAACCAGUUUAGCUCCCAUUUCUAUCGGUCAUUCUCAGUUUGGAUUUCGUUUGUGUGUAUGAAAUGAUGGUGAAAGACAAGCAAACCAAAAUACAAUUUUAAUAUCCGUGUCGCCUCAACCUAAAUAUGCAUGUUCACAGCAAAACAAAAAUUAAACUCUUUUUUUUAGAGACAAAAACUUUACCCAAAUAUGCCAAGUGUGCUCCUGAUCAAAGUUUGCUGAAAGGAAGAGACCAAAGUGAUUCACCUUUCAUCCAAAAUCAAUACCAUUCAGGCUGCUCUCUGAACCGAAAUUCACAGCACACUGCCAAAAAGGAAAUAACAACAUCAGCAUAUGAUUCAUAACAACUUGAAGAGCCUUAGUUAUGCAUAUGAUGCAGCUUAGUGUGUUGAUUCUAAGAAUGCAACUAAGACACCCUAAAUACAUUCUUCCUCAGUAUAGCAUAACAAAUAUAUAUUUUAAAUAACUUAAGACACAUAGAAACAAUAUGGGGAAUAACCUUCUUUUGUUCCUUUCGGUCCCAAGGUCAAAUCAUAACAACGACUGUAUAAGUUUUAGGUGGUCUAAGCUAAAGAAUUAGCAGGGAUUCCAAGUGGUUAGACUUUUAGAUAGUUUCUUCAAGACUUCAAAUUCCACAGCGCACAUAUCUAAAUCAACUGAUUCAAUGUUUCGGCUUAAACUCCAGUUACUUGGUCUCCAAAAAUUUAUAUCAAAGCAUAGUCUGAUGAAACUUCACAGCGUCUAAAAUGCUGUGCCUUCUGUACCUACUGCAAAUCAUGUCAAGUAGCGAAACAAAUUCAGAUUGUGGCAGAGUGACGAUUGUGACAUUUCAGAAGGUAGGAAUAUGCAAGGGGAUUGAAAUUUGCACUUCCAUUUUUACAAUCCACACUCCUUUCCUUUUAUAGUAACUUUUAUAUUGUCUUUAUUCAUGUGUCUUUUAUCCUUUUGUGAAAACUUAAAACUAAAAGAGGAAAGACGGAGUGUGGAUUGUAAAAUGGGGAGUGCAAAUUUCACUCCCCAUAUGCAAAUGAGGGGACAUAAUUCAUAAUUUUACAUCUACUUAGUUUGAUUGGUUUCCACUCAAAACACCAAGCAACAAUAAGAUUCUAAUUGAUAAUGUUCCUUUAGCAAUAUAUAGCACAAAGACAUACAUAACCUAGUCCCCUGGAUUACAGUACAAACUAUCACAUAUUGAUCCAAAGAGAGUGCCUGUCAACCUGUCGAGCCUGCCAGGCCAUAACAAUGGUAGAUAGUUUAGGGAAAACAAGGCAAGAGUUGAAGGCUAAUAUCUCUCUCUGAAAAAUUACACCACAAAGACGUCUACUUCAGAACCAAAUGAGAUUCAAUCAGAAACUCACCCAUUGUAGAUUAGUGUUUGCUCCAGUAGGCCUGAAUAUAAUGGGAAAAGAAAUGACUUCAAAUCACCAUAGUAAUCACAGUCCCUCUCCCGAGUUCGGAAGCAUAACCUCCAUACACAUAACCGUCUUUAUCCUUGAUAACGAAUAAGGUUGGCCCUUUAACGUUCUGCACUGCAAUGAAUAAUUACCCAUUCCAAGCAAAACUAGCUGCAGCAAAUGACAACUGGAAUAUAAAUUUGACACUUAAUCUAACUAGGGCAAAGAACGUUGUAAUCUUUAGUCUUUUCAAAUACUCUGGGGAAUUAAAUUAUCUAUUUGGACCCAAGACAAAUGAUGAAAGGAAAGGCUUUGUUGCAUUAUCUCCCUCUUAUUACCCAACUAUUCCAUUACACAAUUACAGACGAAAGUCACAUAGAUCAAAAAUGACAACUACAGAUAUCAAUUUCAACUGUGGAAAUGGAGUCAAGGUACAAACCUGUGAGUUCCUAUCAAUCCAGUGUGUAGCAGCCAAAUCAAGUGGUCGCCCCUCCUUUGACAACCCAAAUUUUUUGGAUUGAUCUCUUCCUCGAAAACUGGAGAUAUCAACUGUAGGUACCAAGGAUGCUGACAGUGAAUCAGGAAACAUGCCCAGCACACAUUUCUCACAUGACAAUCAUUCCCUUGUAAGCCACCCUAAUUUACUCACAGUGGAAUCCAAAAUCAGAUUUACCCCAUCUUUUUUUUACCUUCUUUAUUGAAGGUUUUAACUUAUCUCAUUUUGAUAUUAUCAUUAAUUUUUUUUUUUUUUUUUUUUUUUACGUGUCCUUCCUUUUGUUGGCAGACAUCAGUCUAUUUUCACUAAUUCCAAUGAAAUAUUAACGCAAACAUUACAGGACAGAAGUUUAAAUUGCAGCUAUUGAGGAAAAAUUAGAUUCACUUGAAAAAUGAACCAAAGUGGCGGAGAGAGAAAAACCAGAACAAACAUGAAACCAUAGAGUAGUUUAAAAAUUCAUCGAAAAAUAUAAUUUAAACAAUGUCAAAAGAGCAGUAAAAAUGUCUAAGCAGAAUUUGAACAUCUAGCAAUGACUUAGAAACAUAAUAAACAACUGGAAUCCCAACUAUAAAAGAAAACAAGUAAAAAGACUCGAAUAAUUGCAUAGUUCCUGGUCCAUUAGUCAAAGUUCCACUCACAGCCAACAUGCUCCAAAGAGGUCUUCAUUAUUCCAUGUUAAGUAUCCUAUCGAGACUUCUUCGGAUCUAGCCUUUUUUGCGGCUUCUGUCCAUCUUGUCCACCAGGGUGAUCAAGCUUCACCAAUAAAAAUAUGAAAGUUAGCUAUUCCACAUUCAAGAAACAACUUCCUGUUCUUGGAAAAAAAAAAUGAGAAGGAGAGUAAAGACAACUUUAAAAGACUCAUAAACUUGAACCUAAUCCUCACAAAUCAUAUUGAUAAAAUACAUCACCUUAUCUUCCUUGACGAAAGAGACACCACUAGACUCCUUUGGUUCGAGAGUAGAAUACACAGCCUCACAGAAAGCAUUAAGAUUUUCUAGUGUCUUCUCCAUCAUUACGCGACUUUUGCACAGCCUAUUGAUUUCUGACUCUUGAUCAGACAACCUCUUCUUUGCCUCAUCCAACCGCUGCGCUACAUCUAUCAGGUGCAUUGCGUUGGAUUUCUUAUAUUCAUCAUACUCAAUUUGGAUAUCUGUUAAAGUCCCAUUUAGCUGCAAACAGAAAUCAAUUCAAAAUCAAUGUAUGUACAUGCUUAAAGAAUCACUAAAGCAAAUUCUGAAUAUAGUUUGGAGUAGAAGAUAUAUAUAUACCAGAGUGUGCAACUUGUCCUCAGCCUUCAAGGCCGAGUUGAGAUCCUCGAGAUGAGAUGUUUGGGUGGAUUUACUUGAUAGUUGUUUUCUGAGGUCAGCUACGGCUUUUUGUUUUGUCUGUUCCAGAACAUAACAUUUGUCCGGCCACCGCUGCUUCUCGUGGAAUAGCUGCAGCGUCUCCUCUUGGCAUUUAAUUAUCUGCAUGUCGAUCAUAUCAGUUGCUUAAUUUCAGUACUGGAAUGUGAUACCUAUUUCAUAUAAUCAGAUAUAGAAUCACAAACGUACCUCGUUUUUAAGCUUCGAAACCUCUUCGUUCUGGCCUGACAUCCUGCCCGACCCUAUUCUAUUCUGUUUGAGAAUCGGAAUUAGCUAAAACAAAUCUUCAACGAUCAAUUAAAGACCAAAUCCUAGCCUGACUCGAUCCAAAUUCCAAUAAAUAAAAAAAGGAGGACAUCUUACACGAGGUUGAUCUUGAGAUGGAGCUGGUGGAAGAAUGAUUCUGUUGGGUCCGAAUCGGCGGUGAGGACUCUCUUUAGGAUGACACAGUCGGUCGGGAGGGCUUAUGCGUCAGCUCCGGGACUUCUUAAGCUCCAGUACUGAACCUGCCCAUUACUUAUUAUUUUUAAUAUUGAUAUCGUAAUUGAAUUAGCAAAUUAUUUUCAUUCAUAUCACAUAAUAUUUAAUAAAUCAUAAUAAAGAAAUUUAAAACUUUAUGGACAUGGAAAUAGAAUACCAAACGAAAUAGGCUAUUUAAUAAGUAAUAAUAAAGAAAUUAAAAACUGUAUGAACAUGGAAAUAGAAUACCAAGCGAAAGAGGCUGAAGAGGUAAAAAGAGCGAGAGAGCGAAAGUUGACAAACUUGGGACUUGAAGGUCUGAUUUGCCGGAUCACGUCCGGGGCAAGGGUUCCUGUUUGCAAUUGGUUUUUUUCCUAAUCGAGAUUCAAUUCGGGGCAAUAUUGGAAUUGGGAUCAAGUUGAGGCUAGGGUUUUGUUGGAAAUAGGGGAAGGAUGUCAAGUGAUGAAACCAACUUGAGAUUGAAUAGGAAAGGAGAAGAACAAGAAGAAACGUAUUCAAAUAAUCUACAUAUCAUUCAUCGACAACUGAUUCUAGAUAGAUUACAAACUUAUAAAGAUGGAGUUCCAUCUGCUACAAUAAAGGAGAGAAUAAGUAUCAAAGAUAACUUCCUACUGCUGGGCCGAUGAGCCUUGAUCUUACCUACAUAUCCUAUUACAUCUUGGGCUAAGCCUUUUACAUAAAGAAGAAGAUACCUACUAUUGCGGUGAAGAGAGAUUGAGGCAUAACGUGUUCCAUCAACUACUCCUCCCUUUGAUAACAUGUUGUCCUCGGCUGUUACUGGAAUGAUCAUUAAUCACCCGAAAUUCCAUUGACACCUACUGACCUACCACGUCACGUGAAUUUGGCGACUCUAAGAUAGCCAUAAUAGGCUUUUUACAAACAUGAGAUUUCGACCACUUCUCAUCACAACUAAAGCAAAGACCCUGAGCUCUUCUUUCACUACGACCACGAGAUGGCCAUUGCCUGAAUUGGGAAUCAAUGAUUACCUCUAGAGUGUCUGCAGUUCGUGGUGAAUUGGUCACGGAGAAAGACGGCUGAGAAGCUUGGAUAUCAUCAAGUUUAGUCUCAUAUAGGUGGGCUAAGCGUUGCGCAGCCGCUAAUGUCCGUGGUUCCGUGACAAGUACAUCAUGUCUAAUUUCCGGCUUCAAUCCACCAAGAAAUUAAAACUUGGUAAUAAUUGAGCUUUCGUCUAUCCGUAGGCUCUACAAGACAACUUGAUAAAAGCUUAUAUGAAUUCACUCACGGUACCUGUCUAUUUAAGAUGCGAUAAUUUCGUCUGAAAAUCAGUGUUCGUCCCAGCCCCAUAGAGCUCCAAGAAAGCUGAUGUUAACUGAUGCCAAGUAGCCAUAAGAUUACGUUCUUCAAAGGAAUUCAUCCAUAUACAAGCAUACAAGCAUCAUAAUUCUUCAAGGAAUUCAUCCACAUACAAGCAACGGGACCAAAGUGGGAAGCCACCGUUGUUGUGUGCUCAUAUGAAGGAACUCGUUGAGAGCGAAGAUAUCUCUCUACCAUAGUUAACCAACCUCAAGCAUCCUCUCCAUGAAAUCUUGGUAAAUCAACUUUUGGAGGCCUGUAGUAAGGAAUGUCAUAUUAUGGUGGAGGAUUUGGUGGCAGAGGAUUGAGGGUACGUACUUGUGGUAACAAUGGUGGAAUUCAAUGGAGGAGCAGAAAAAAAAAUUUGGGGGAUUCGGAAGCAAUCCAUACCACUGUGGAGAGGAAAAAGGCAAUGUGGUCAUGACAUUUGAUGGUUGGAUGAACAUUGGUGAGUUGAUUGAAUGGGAGGGAGAUGGAAAAUCUUGAAGGUUUGGUGAUUGCCACAACGUCAAGACUUGCACCAACGUGUUCUAAAGUGUAGAAAGUUAGGCAGUCAUUUGGUUUUGAAAAGAGGCUUGAUUUUGGUUAAGAGUAGUGAUGGAUUAGUGCAAUUCAUUCUACAGAGUGGAGACCGAACUUUGAAUUUCUUCAAUCGACAUAGUUUUAUUUUCGGGUGGAGAUGAAGAAGAUAGUGAAGAAAGCAUUGGGAAAGAUUAAUGUGAUGAAAAGGAGGAACAUGAGCAGAAGAGAUGGGUGUGGUAGAGGGUUGAGAAGUCUGCACAGUGCGCGCAGGAGCCAUUAAGGCUCUGAUACCAAUGAUGGAACCAACUUGAGAUUGAAUAGAAAAGGAGAAGAACAAGAAGAAACAUAUUCAAAUAAUGUGCAUAUCAUUCAUCGACAACUGAUUCUAGAUAGAUCACAGACUUAUAAAGAUAGAGUUCCAUCUGCUACAAAUAAGGAGAGAAUGAGUAUCAAAGAUAACUUCUUACUGCUGGGCCGAUGAGCCUUGAUCUUACCUACAUAUCCUAUUACAUCUUAGGCUAAGCCUUUUACAUAAAAAAGAAGAUAGCUACCGCUGGGAUGAAGAGAAGCAAUUGCUACGGUGAAGACGAGACUACUGCGGUGAAGAGAGGUUGAGGCAAAAUGUGUACCAUCAUCAAGUGAGGCAGGCACCACGGUCGACGAAAAGGUUUUGGAGCUCCAAGAGAAGGUACGCACUCUUAAUUUUCACUAAUGGUAUUCGAUCUCUUCUAUUAGGCACUGAAUUGUAACAAUUAGUGGUGCUGCAUCUGUUAGCUUUCUCAAUGCCGACUCGAAAGGGACCGGCUCCAGGCCGAGAAAGAGAGUUUCAUGAUCAUGAAGCGGGAAUUAAAAAAACUAGAAGAUGAACUCAGAGAUGAGAAAGAAGCGAAUUCGCUGGCGACUUCUAUAUUCAAUGAAGAAAAGAAGUCACUCGAAGAGGUCUUGAAGGCCAAGUUGCGGAGUCUUCGUCAGGUAUGAUUUCUAUCACCAAUAUAGUCGAUCUCAUUAUGAUUUGGCAGCCUUUUGUAAUCCGGUACUAUGUUCUCCAUAUCUAUACGUGAUUGUCAGCCUUGUUUGCUAUAUCUGGUGUUAAAUACAUAUGCUUCACUCAACGACUAAUGUGGGGUGGGCUAAUUUAUUGAUGUCCACUAUGGAUGUUUUGUUAGGAGAAGCCUAAAAUUUUUAUAGUCUGAUAUGCAAAAGAUCCGCGUGUCUACUCUAUUGUUAUUUGAACCAAUACUUUUUAAGUAUUAUUACUAAAUCUUUUAUAUGAAAAGACAAAGAUGAAAAUGAAAGCUGGUUGACGAGCACAUUUUAUAUCAUAUUAUUAUCCCUAAUUUAUAUAUGUUAGUUACUUGUUUUUAAUUAGUUUAAGUUAUUUAGUUUGUUUUUGUGUUUUUAUAGAUGUUUGUCUAAAUAAAUAAAAUGUUAAAGCUAUGAAAGCAAUUUACUUAUUUUCAUAUAGUAAUUUGAGUCUUUGUUUUAACAUGAGUCUUUUUCCCUUUAAUUAGAUGAAUAAUUGCAACACAUGUUCUUCUUAUUCUAGUAGCAUGUAUGCAUAUAUGCAUGUGUUAAAUUGGUGGAUUAUUUUCUCAUGCAUUAAGUGUGAUGUGUGGAAAUAUUACCAUGACAUCCAUUGUUGAAUUCACUUUUGCUUGUUUGAUUCAUAGGUAUAUAGAUGCAUUGAUACAAACGGAAGAGAGUAUGAAAAAUCUCCAAGGACAUAUACCAUGAAACAAGGAGGCAAGAAGCAAGCAAACAUGAUUCUAGGAACUAAAUCUUCAAUUGUUCAAAGAUUGUGUAUGUAUCUUCUCUUCAUUCACAUGAAAAAUGAGAGAAGGAAGCUAUGGAUGGAAACAUUUAUGGAUAGAGACUUUAGCUAUCAAGCUUGAGAAAUUUGAAAGAUGGAGAGUCAUUUUCACAUGGAGAUGAAGUUGAAUGAAGAUCAUUGUUGCCCUAUAAAUAGAUGUUGUUUCAAGUGAAUAAGAGGGGAGGAGGAGAGAGUGGAGAAUUAGAGACACAUUGUUGCUCUUAGUUCUACCCUUUCUUUAGCUACUUUUUAUAUAAUGUUUUGUAUUUGUUUAAGUAUGUUUUCAAUUUGUACUAUGUCUUGCUAAUUUCCUUAACUAAGGUUAAGGAGGAAACCACAUUAUGAAAUAAGUUUCUUUUAAUUAUCUACAAUUCCCAUAGUGAUGUUAUCCAUGCCUAUGACUCUUGCUUCAAAAUGCAUUAAUAAUCCUUGUUCCUUUCACCUUUAAUGUCAUGCAUUUUUGGUAGUUUGGAAGUCACUUUUAUUAAUCCAUGCUUGGCUUUGUAAAAUAUUUAAUAUGAACUCCUUUGAUCUCUUGUCAUUCAAAUGAGCUUGUUUCACAUUUGAUGCUUUGUAAACACUUUGAUCUUUUGUAGUUUCAAUAAGUUUGUGUACAUGUGAUGCUUUGAUGUUCAUAAUUAAGAAGCGAAGAAGAGUCUACUUUAGAUAUAUUUCAUGUGUGCUUCAUUGUUAAAUCUUGAGAAAGCAGUAGAUUGAUUUCUAGAUUGCUACUCCUAAUUCGGGAAUUAGUAGAUAAUAUUUAGAGACUUAUCAAGUAAUGUGGUGGAAUCCGAUGUCAUAGUUACUUCGUCAUCAAGGUAAUCUUUUAUCUAUUUUAUUUGUCUUAGCUACUUCACCAUCAACUUUCAUUCAACUAAGUUAGUGUUAAAUUAAUUUAGAUUCGAUUAGUUUUUCCUAUUUUCAUACAUUCCAUGUGGGUUCGACCUCACUCUUGCAUAUCUGUGCUGCAACUGAUUCGUGCGUUUGCGAGUAACAUUUUAAAACACAUCAAGUUUUUGGCGCCGUUGCCGGGGAAAUUAUUACUAAAUCUUUUAUAUGAAAAGACAAAGAUGAAAAUGAAAGCUGGUAAAAGAAGAGAGAAAUAAAAAAAAAUUAAACAUAUUUGUUGUUUGAGUGGUUUUAAAUACACACCGUAAAUAACUUAAUACACAUCCCUAUUAUUUGAUAUUUUAAAUCAGAUUUGAUUGGUAUGUUAAAUGACCAAAAGAGACAUGUGUAAUACAAUAUAAAUAUUAAAAAUAAACUUAUAUUUGGAAACUAAUAAUAUGAAAUAUAAACCAAAUUAAAAUAUUAAAAACGAAAACUUAUUUUUGGAAACUUAUAAAGUGAAUUAGAACAAAUUAAAUUUUUAAGAUUGAGAACUUAUUUAGGGAAACUAUUAAAGUAAACAUAAAAUUUGCAAGAAAAUGGAUAAUCAAUUCAUUUCUUUUUUGUCCUUAAAGAUUCAUAAUUUCCAAGUUUAAAGUGUCAAAGUGUCAAACGAUGUAAUUGUUAUGCAUAUGAACACAUAUUUCGUUAUAUUUCACAUAUUUUCCUUUUCACCCAAACACACUAUUCAAAUAUGUAUUUUUCAUCUUGUUUAUCAUUUUCAUGUUUAAGAAUUUGAAAUGAACAAUGAAUUUGUAAGGAUUUCUCAAGAAUGUACGAACAUAAGUAAUAGAUAUGAACAUCUAUAAAAUGUUCAUUUAUAAAACUACAUACUAAUUAUACAAUAAUAAUAAUAGUGUUAAUAUAGUCACAUAAUAUGAUAUUUCAUGGAUUUUUAGAUUAAGAGUAUUUUAGGUACUUUGAGUUGUGUAUUUAGUAAAAUAUUCGAAUGAGAAAUUAAAUAAGUGGUGUAUUGAGAAAAGGAUAUGUAUUAAGUUAUUUGAGGUGAAUAUAUAAAAUUUCUCUUGUUGUUUGCUGUAUCUGAUGCCAAAUACAUAUACUUCGAUGUCUCUCAAGUUUUUAGUCUCUGGUUUGAUUGUUUUUUUUUCUUGUUGGCAGUUCGAGAACGAAUUUGAUGAGUUUUAUGGUAAGCAUAUUUGUGAAUUCAAAGAUAAGGAGGCAGAAGCAGUCAAUGCCAUUAAAAAGCUUAUGUGGUUGCAUGCUAAAUUAAAAGGGAGAGAUGAGCGGUAUCAAAGAGAGAGGGUUAAGGCGCACAAGCUACAUUCACUGAUAGAUAAGAAAUGAAAAAAUUUGAACAAACUCCAAGACCAUUAUGAUGCUUAUAUGAAAAAACUCCAGUAUGACGAUGAUGACUACAGAAUGCUAAAUAAGUAUGUGCGUGUUGUUUUACAACCAAGUUCUACUCAGAAGUAAGAUGAUAUGUUUGUCGGUGUUGAUUUAAUAUCAAUAGUUUCCACUGCAAUAUCAAAGGUUAUUAACAGCUUUCCUUUUAAUAUCAAUGUUAUUGUAACAUUAUUUAUUUCUUACGAAAUUAUUGAAUAUCUUCUGUACGUUUCUCUUUCGUACUGUAUAUGUAUAUGUUUUUUUUCGUUUUUUCAAGUACUGAGAAGAUGGUUUUUGAAACCAAUGGACGUCUGAUGUUCCUUUUCUUUUAUUGGUGAAGGUAAACAUCCUUUAGGGGAAAGAGUGGACAACCAGUUUGAGCAUCCUGGAGAAGCGUCAAUAGGAGUGGACAACGAAUCUUAGCAUCCUAGAUAAGCGUCGAUAGGAAAGAAGCCCUAGGACUUUAUCGUAACAUAACCGGAUGAGGACCUAUUUGGAGGAUGGUGACUCUAAAUGGAACAUAAUACAAGGACAUAGAGAACAUUGAACUUUAUGGUAAGUCAUAACAAUUUUAGGAUAAUAGUAUAAAUGCCUAUCAUCCCUAAAAAUAUAGUCAACAAGAUCGUAAUAAUAGCUGCAAACACACGAUAUCUCGUACGAUGAUACUCCUCCUGAGGUAAAACCCUCAGCUCCAAAUCGUGUGUGUACCGACUCAAAAAGUGAGCGAGUAUAAACACAAUGACAGGUCCAAAAAGAGCAAACCCAUCACACAUAAACAUCACAAGAGGCCUCAAUAGAGUAAUAUCACCAAAACCAAUAGAGAGCAUAAUACUGGAAGCCACAUAAGAACGGUCAAUGAACUUACCAGGCUGCGGUUAAGGACUAAAGGGACAAAAGUCUGAGAUAGUCCAGCAAAUAAGCAGAGCAACAACUAUCAAGGAGAAACAAGCACAAGCAAAAUACCAAACAUGUAACUUGUUUAAGCCGGUACCCCUGGAAAGUGAAAAAAAAAUGAAAAUGUUAACAAUAUAACAUCCAGACACGACCUUUCCUAUAUAUAAACUGACACGACCCAUCCCGAAUUUCACCCUGAAACCCGGAGUAAGUCGUGCGAGGACCACCUCCAAGGAAAAUUUACCGAAAAGAUUGGUAAUACCUCCCUUGAAAAUGGACAACCCUAACCCGAAAAAUUUCCAAUUCACACACUUACUACAACACUUCCAAAAAUAUCACACAAUUAUCCAGCUAAAUAAAAGCAAAUAUUAUUCUUCAACAAUUCUAAACAUAAAGUCAACCGACCGAGCACACCACCGGAAUAAUAUACAAUAAUCCUAAAGUAUUCAGAGCUACUAGACACUAGCGGAAGCAAGAAAACACUAGUAGGUUAAACAUGUAACCUACUGAUGAAAACUGGCGGAAAAGCGGGUAACUAUGCCUCGUCUCCUACUAGGUCCAACCUGAACUCUGCAGACUAGGCAAUUUAAAACGAAGGGCCUAGGGGAAAACAUGUGGAACAGUUAGAGUGAGUGGACAAAAAUAAAUUAAAUAAAAAUAUUUCUUUAUGCUUCCCCAAUUUAAUUUCCAAAUAAAAUAAUACUGCAUGCAAUCGCUCAAAAAGCGCUCAACUCAAAAAAAUAGGCAACUUCACGACCAGCACCGGCUAGUCUCCAAAACUUAAUAAAAUACAGCCUCUUAGGCUAAAUUAUAUAUAAACAUAUAUAAGUGUAUGUAUUUACACUCGUCAGACUCCUUGCAUGAAUUCUAAGAACAAAUUAGAAAAAUAGAAAUUCAUACAAGGCUACUACGCUUGCGUCUAACGCUCAUGUCACACCAUAAUGGAAUUGUACCUCAGUAUGGCGGAAAAAGCACGAGUGUAUAUACGUGUGGACUCCCUAUAUGAAAACCUAAAUAAACCAAAUAAAAAAAUAGUUUUCAUAUAGGGCUACUACGCUUGUGUCUAACACUCACGUCACACCAUAAUGGUAUUUUACCUCAUUAUGGCGGAUCAGCACGUAUGGCUAGCUAGCAUUUACAUAUACAUACUAUCAUCAUAAACAUCCAAUAAUCAUAUCCACCGAAAAUCUCAUUUUCGGGAUCUCUCCAAAGGAGGAAAAUUGCCAAUUAUCCGAAAAAUCAUAAAUCUCAGGUGAAGAAUAUCUAAUCAACAACAUAAUGCAUCGCAUGCUUUCAAAUUAAAAACAAAGUCCACUCACAAAUUAGGCCUAAGUCUGAUGACGCUCCGAGGCUUCCUCUGCUUGGGCCUCCUCUCGUCCUGUUCCAAAUAUAUAAUUAAUUUCCCACCAAAAAACCAAUAUUUAAACAAAAUGGGCAAAAUUAAACGUGAGCCUCCCACACACUCAUCGUUGCCCAUAUUCGCCAUUCUUAACUCAAUACGGCUCAAACUUCGCCGAACAUACCGGCAGCCGUAACAACAACUUCCCACAGAAUACGACUUAAAUCCUACGGCCGGAUUCUACAUUAAUUAACCGCCAAAAAUACCAAACUUCGGAAAAUCACAAACCUAUCCAAAACUCAUCCAAAAAUUCCAUAACUCACUUCAAUAAACUCCCCUUAAUAUUCCACAUUUAAAAACAUAAAAAUCUCCCAACCGGCAGCGGCGGCCGGAGGCCAAUUCCGGCGACCUCCAAAACCUAUGAAAUUUUGAUAGAAUAAUCUCCUCAUCAUGCUCUACAACUUUCCUGACCAGCACAAACCAAAAAUCCAAGCCUAACUGGGCAAGGCUGCUGGGUUGGAGGGCUACAAAACCGUACCAAGCUUGCCCAGAUUGGUGGCCAGAGGAGGGAGUUCCGGCGAAAUGCUUCCCGGCGUCUCCGGCGGGAUUUCUCCUCUUCCGGCGGGUUAGAGGCUCGGGGGCUAGGCCGGGGAGGGAGAGGAGGUGGCGGGGCUCCGAACUGGGCUGGAGCGGCGGCAGCUGGUGGCCGGACGGCGGCAGGAGGACGGCCGAACGAACGGGCAGCGGGAGGAAGAAAAUCGGGGAGAGAGAGAGAGAGAGAACCGGGUAGAAAAGAGAGAAAAGAGAAAAAUGGGUUUGGGCCUCACACCCCAAACCGGUCCACACCUUUAAACAACCCAAUUCCAAAAAUGAAACACCCUGAAAAAUAAUACCCGAAUAAAAAUUACCUUUUACUAGCUAAAAUUUACUAUUUUUACCGUCGUCGUAUUUUCCUCUUACGAAUAAUCCUCCGCACAUAAUCGUCCCCGAAACCCCUCUAGGGACCAAUUAAACUAUUAACUCAAUGACGGAUACGGUAAAAUUCUUAUUAUAAACCAGCUAGUAAAUAAGGUAAAAAUAUAAGAGUCGGGAUGUGACAUAAACAACAACAAAACAUAUUAAAAAACAAAAAAAAACAAAAAAACUUUACAAAUAGGUCUUUUUUUUAUCUAUAAUAGAUGAAAGGUGUCACGGUUGCAACUUGAUAAUCAUCGGAGAAGCAAUAUCGUUGUUCUACCCUCAAUUCUUUAGUUGUUUCGCAAUUGGGCUCAAGCUUAGGCGCAAAAAACUUUACAAGUUUAGGCUCAUCAGUACUCUAAUACAAUUUAAACGUACUCUAAAAAAAGUUAUCACUUGAAGUUCAUAGUAAGACUCAAUACUCCAAUACAAUUUAAACUCAAAAAAAAGUCAUCACUUAAUGGUUGUAGUAAGGUUGGGGUAUUACAUAUACACUUCGCUACUUGUCCCAAUUAAGGCAAGAUAUAAGCAUGGGUUUCGUGAUUUUGCAUUGUUUUUCCAAAAUGGCUCACUUCAUUAUUAUGAGACAUUUGACACGUCUGAAGUGGCCAAUUUUUUCAUAAAAUUGUUCAAUUGAGUACAUAUUAAGGACGUUGUUUCGUAUUGUCAGUCUAUUUUAUAUUCUUGCUUCAAUUAUUGUAUUUGAAUCUUGAACGAUUACCUUAAUAACCAUAGUGCAAGCCAUGAAUUAGAGAAUGUAAAAGUCACAAGAAUUAGAGUUUGACGAACAUAUAGUCACUACUACACAAAAAGUUUCAAUGACGUAUGAAAAACGUUAUGAAAGGGCUUUUAUGACUUUUUUUCAACCGUUAUCUACUUCGUCGUCUAUAUCAGAGUCAUGGUUUCCAUACAUUUUCAAUGGCGUUUGUAAAAUGUAAUGAAAAUUCUUUCAUGACGUUUCAAAUUUUCAAUGACAUUGCCUAAACGUCAUGGAAGAUUUUUCAAAUGUCAUAGAAAACAAUUAACAACAUUGAUCAAUCGUCAUUAAAAUACAUUUCAUGAUGUUUUCCAAUCGUCAUGACUCUUUUCUAAUUUACUAUAUUUAUCAAACAUCCUAGAAACAUUUAUCAUGACGUUGCGAUGACACCGUUGAAAAACGUUAUCAAAUAGUAAGAAUUACAAUGACGUUUAUCAUGAACUUAAGAUGAAAUUCAUAUUAGACUCAUUUUAGCAUUUCAGUUGUUUGUAUGAUAGAAAAAAAGAAGAUGAAAUUCAGAUUCAUGUUGUUCGCUUCCAACAACAUCAUAGAAAAAGUAUAAAAUGACGUUUUUGGGCAAACGUCAUUAAAGUGCUGUCAUCGAAACUUUAUUGUAGUAGUUAGUAAAUCACAAAUUAUGGAAGAUAAGUUGCACAAUGCGAACAUCUUAGAUUUUAUAGGAUUGAGAUUGUGCGUCAUAUUAUGAACCACCCUUAUCGUGUAAGGUGAGAUCAAAAUUUUCUUAGCUUAAUUUCUUCUUUGAUACAAUAAAUUUUGUCUUAAAAGACAAAUACGAACAUCAUACAACUUACACGAACAUGACAUGAUUAAAGACUAAUGAAGGUGCGAAUAGAGAAACACAUAUCUUAAAAGCAAGGAGAAGACUUAGCCUUCAAAAUAAGUAAAUUCCUAAUUUACUUUUAAGAGUGCCCGUAAUAUACUCAACUGUUAAUAUAUCACAACUGAAUACAAAACAGUUAAGAAAUAAAUCCAUAAUGUAGCAAAAUACGGUAAAAAAAUCUAUACAUCCAAUCGUAGUUAGUCAUAAUGUAGUAAAAUUUGAUAUAUGUAGGUAAGUAUGUAAAACAGUGAAAGAGAAGAAAAUUGUCUGAUAUGUCAAACUAAAACUUAGGCGUUAAUACAAGUUAUACUCAUACACCAAUACAAAUAACAAAUUCAAUCAUGUCAACAUUAAAUCAAAAAUACAAUUGGACCCGUCGAGACGGGAUAUUCUUACCCACAAAGUUCAUUCCUUUCUUUUUUUCUCCAAGUUCUGGGCUUUGAUGGCGAACUUAACCCCCAACUUUUGCAUUACGUAUAGGGAAACCCACUAUCGUAGCUAGGGAUAAAUUAUAAAAUGAUGAAGCAAAUGACAUUGACAAAUUUAUGAGUUGACGCCGAUCAUCAAUAUUUCAGCAACAAUGACCACCGCAUUCAUCUGGUAUGGACGUCCUUCCACAAUGCAAUGAAAAACUUUGCUUGCUCGCUUCAGUAUAUCUAGCUUUCCUUUGACAUCAAGACUGAUACCAAUCUGGGUCGACAACGCCAUUGACAUCUUUCUUGUUACUUAAUUAACAAGAAAUUAAUAAUAAGAAAAUAAAAAGAAAGAAAAAGUAAGGCCAUUCCAUUUCAACAAAACACCCAUGCCCAAAUUCCAGUCAUAAGGAUCACCAUUGUCUUCUUGUCUAGUUCACACCAAACAUCCUUGAGCCUCCCUCGUCGUGGCCGGAUCAAAUGCUCGAAGGCUAUACUACGUCUCCAACACCCAAGGCCAGUUUUCUUUUGAGGUUUCUCUUGAGAUAUUUGGAGGUUAUGGUUGAUCGAAACAAUCGGCCAGAGAGAUUGACGUGAUGGGACAGUUACCGAGAGACGACAUUGGAGGAUUGGAAUGGAGAAAAGGAUUCCCCUUAAUGAGUAUGUCGACGUCGGCUUCCAUUGGGGGAGUGGGGAGUUUAGGGUUUGGAGAAGGAGAGAGCGGCGACAUUAAGUAUUUUUUUUUUUUUUUUUUUUUGAAUAAAGAGCUGGUACAAUCAAGCUGUCAUUAAUGAAACCGUCGAAUAUAAGAGGGGAUAUAAUGCCUAAAUCCCUGAAUACAAAGAUGCGAAGUAAUAUCAAGAAUCUCUACAACGUACUUGUAUUCUAACAAGCACCAACUAGCAAAGAAUACUACCCUAAAGGCGAUUCUAUAUUUGUUUUGUCACAAUGGUGGCAUAACAAAAAGAUCAGUAGAUAUGUAGCCCAACUAGCAAAGAAUACUACCCUAAAGGCGAUUCCAUAUUUGUUUUGUCACAGCGAUGACGAUUCCAUAUUUGCUUGUAUUCUAACAAGCACCAACUAGCAAAGAAUAUUAUCCUAAAGGCGAUUCUAUAUUUGUUUUGUCAUAGCGGUGGCAUAACAGAAAGAUCAGUAGAUAUAUAGCCCGACUACAUAUCCUAAUGUCUAAUAAAACAGUUUUUCUACUAUGUUGCCGCCAGAAAACAAAUCUGACGACACUUAAUUUCAUCCUGCCAGACCAUACAAAAUACGCACCGCUUGCCUAGGACAGAAAACACAUACAAGAUGCAUAGACCAGAACCAAGCCCAUUUCGUCCUACCAAAAAAGGGUGCAAAAAUAGUUCAAAUCUCAAAUAGACAUAACUAAAUAGUGGAAAUUGCAAUUAAUGGAAUUUCAAUUGAUGAGAAACUAAACAUUAUUAUUUUAGAAUUUCUCAAGAAUAUAAAAAUCUCUCACCCAAACGUAACGUACAAAAAUUAUAAAAUAUUACAUCAUUAUGAAAGGCUAGUAAUAGAUAAUCAGACGUUUAGAAAAUAAAGUAAUAUCAGAUUGAGCACGAAAAUUACUCCUUAAAAAGGCAGAAGAAAAAACAAGAGUGCCAAAUAUAGCAGUUGAAGUAGUAGCAGUUUGGUUUAAAAGCCCAAAACUGGUAAUAAUGAAAUGGUGAAAGAGAGUGACAAUUUUGUUUUUACUUUCUUUUACCCCCUCUUCAGAAAACAUUCCUCCUCCUCCGGUGGUGAACUUCGGUGAUCCGGCGCUCUCGCGCCCAUUUGUUCUUCUCCCUCCACCGUCCGAUCGCCGGAGGCUCCUUCACCCCAGUCCCACGAUUUCAUUCCCAAUCUCUAUCUCACCUAAAAAAAAUUAAAAAACAGUCAAAACAAUUCCUAUCUAUCUGAUUCAAGACAAUUGCAAAAGCAGGUGUAUGUUGAGAUUUCUCGAGAGGAGUUGUGAGGCCAAAGAUGGGGUUAAUCCAAAGGCAAGUUUUCCCUGUUUGUGAAAGUCUCUGCUUCUUUUGUCCUGCAUUGCGCGCCAGAUCACGCCAUCCCGUCAAACGAUACAAGAAGCUGCUCGCUGAGAUUUUUCCUCGCUCUCCGGUAAUGUACUUGUUCAAUUUUCAAUUUUCAAUUUUUUUCUAUUUUUAUUUUAUCUUUUUCCAUUUUGGAUGGGCAAUGAAAAUUUCUACAUAGAUUAAUUGUCAUGGUGAUUGUAAGGUUUUAGGGAUGUUUGUGAAUAAAAUGCUAUGAAAAUUAUGUUCAUGUAAGGGUAACUUGUUUCCCAAGAAAUGAGCACCUCUUACUGUGAAUUUAUGAUGUGAGGUAUGGAAUGAGGGGAAACAAAGGAAAAAUGUUUAGUUCCUUCUCUUCUGAAACAAAUUAAAUUUUCAUGAUUUGAAAUUUCGAACCACAGAUACAGAUUUUGGUUCAAUUUGUUGUCCCCGAUUAAGCAUAACUGUUAUACGUGUCCAACUUUUCAUAAUGUGGUUGUUCCUUUAGUUGUCUUGUCACUGAAUUAUGUCUAAAAUAUUCUGGCAGGAUGAAGAACCAAAUGACCGCAAGAUCAGUAAGCUAUGUGAAUACGCCUCAAAAACUCCUCUCCGUAUUCCAAAGGUGCUAGCUCUUGUUUUUAUGCUCGAAACCUAUCUACAUGUGGAUCAUAUUGCUGCAUGUGAACUUAAGUGGUCAUCUAUCUAACUUUGGAAUUCUGGUACAUCUUAUAUAUGGAAGAUCUAUCUAGAAUAUCAGAAAAGUUUAACUAAUUUAAAGAUGAUUAAAAGCUUAAUAAUGAAGUUUUCGGUACAGUACUAGUAAGGUAAGGUGGAACUUGGAAGAUGUGAUCAUCGUGUGUUAUAGCAACUACAUCGUUUAAGGCAAUGGUCUAGAUCAGUGCAUAAUUCAAUUCUGUUAUAGUAAAGGGGAUGAAAAGCGACUUUUUGUGAAAGAAUUUAUAUAAAUUAUUAAGAUGAAGAUGAGGAAGCUUAAAUUGUGAGAUGUAUAGUUCAGUGCUGCAUGCCAUUAGUUGAAACGCUGUCUUUAUUUUUAUUUUAUUUUUACUAAAUGAUUCAAGAGUGGUAGCUAAACUACAUAGACAGAAAUUCACACCUCUUUGCAUCCCACCUAAGCAUGGUAUUUAAUUUGAAUUGUAAAAGAGGCUCCGACAGUUAUAAUUUUGUAUACCGUAAAUCUGAUGUUGGCAAACCAUUUUCUAACCUGUUGACAACCAGUUUUCUUUAUCUUCUGGUGUUCUAGGCUAUAGGUCUAAUUUUACUUUCAUUCAUGUAUUCUUUUCUUUUGUUGAUAGACGUUCAUAUAUUUCAGAUCACAACUACACUGGAGCAAAGGUGCUAUAAGGACUUGAGAACUGAGAACUUCCACUCUGUGAAAGUGGUCAUGUGUGUCUACCGGAAGUUGUUGAUUUCUUGUAAGGAUCAAAUGUGAGUUCUUUAGUACGUAAAAGUAAAGAUUAAGGUUAUCACAUAGCAUACAUGUUUCUUCAGUUGUGACAAAAACUGGAUAUGUUGGUUGGAGUACUAAGUUCAUUUCGACUUUCUAACUGAGACAUUAAUUAAUCAUUUCUUGAUAAAUUUCAUAUAGCCAGACAAUCAUAUCGAAGCAAAGAAAUUGUCGCUUAUAACUUCCACUAUCCACCUAGCUUAUGCUUUUACUCUGUGAAAAGAAGGGACACUACUGUACCAACCAUUAUUACACAAAAUAAAUAGUGACAUCUGGUAUCUGAAAUUUAUAUUUGCAUAGAAUUCAGAAGAAGCUAAUGGACUAGAAUAGUGCACAUAACUCUGAGAUGCAGGAUGAUGCUUAUUUUAUUUGCUUUUUAUCAUAUUGGUGAUGCAAAAUCUUGAGACUCAUUUUAUGACUUUUCUCAGAUAGCCAAAGUGCCAAACACAAAUGUGGUAAUAUAUUGGUGUUUUCAGUGUUUUUUUUUUUUUUUGGCGUAAGAGUCUGUACAAUGUGUGUGCGCGCACACAUGCAUGAAGAUGAAAACAUUCAAACUAAACAUUUUUGUGUAUCAUGUAACUUAGCCUUUUUUUUUGUCAGACUCAUUGUGUUUACCAUGAUCACUAGAGUAAUCUUCAUGUGUGUCAUUGUAGUGUAAAAUGAGUAUGAGACACAAGAAAAUUACUUUCUGUGGGUUUGUCUUCUAUUUCUUCCAGUAGUCUUUUGUGCAAUACUUUUCUGUCUAGAUGGUGAGUGAUUUUUUGGGAACUCACACAACUAUAUUCUGAAGUUGUUCACUGCUAUGCAAGCUUUGAUCUGUUUAUGUUUGCAGGCCAUUGUUUGCAAGUAGUUUACUUACCAUUGUUCAAAUUCUACUUGAUCAAUCACGACAUGAUGAAAUGCGCAUUUUAGGAUGCCAAACUCUUUUCGAGUUUGUGAAUAAUCAGGUGGGAAUUGUUCUGUUCUUCAUCCUUCAGAUUGUUUUGUCUUUGUCUUUUUCUUCUUUUCCAUUUGAGAUAAUUAUUAGAUCAUGUGACCUUUUUGACUAUGCAGAAGGAUGGUACAUAUAUGUUUAACCUAGACAGCAUGAUUCCAAAACUUUGUCAAAUAGCUCAAGAAAUGAGGGAGGAUGGGACGGCAAUGAAAGUGCGGGCAGCUGGGCUUCAAGCUCUUUCCUCAAUGGUAAUCUAUCCACAUUUUCUUUUUGUUGUUACUUCAUGCUGUGACCCUUAUUUUGCAUAUAUUAUCAGAAACUGACAAUUGUUAAAUCCCAACAAAAAAAAAGAAAAGAAUUAGAAGGUUCAAAAUUCAGUAGUAAAAUUUUCCAACAAUUUUGACCAGGAAUCCUAAAGCCAAGUUCUUUUUCUUCCACCCAUACUUCACUGGAUGUAUGUAACUGUUUAUUCAUUGCCCCUUGCCCCCUCCCACCUUCACACACAAAACAAAGAGAGAAGACUAUAAUGGGUAAUGCAAUGUCAUAGUCUAGUUCCCCUGCUGUAUGUAUCAUACAUAUAUACCUGCCUUUAACUUUAUGCGAGUCCAUUAUAUAGUAGAACUUGGCAUCUAUAAUAUGUUUCUCAACUGAUUCUGCUGCCUGUUUUGGUUUUAAAGAAUGAUCGUCGAAUAGCGAAGUCAUACUUUCAGGAUGUGAAGGAUCAAGUGUUAGACUUGGCAUGUUGAAAAUGAGUCCCUUAUCUGGCAUACAAAUCUAGAAAUAAUAUCAUGCUGCUCUCUGGCAGUUCGAAACUUUGAAUUAUAAUUAGGCAUUUCCUUUUCUAUUUGUUAUCACAAAUCCUUAUCUAGAAGACUGGGACUUUUCUUGCUGGAUGGAUUUUCUGUCACAAGCACCGUCACGCUUGAGUAGAAUUUAACAUUGUGAAAUAAUUUCAUGUGCAGGUUUGGUUCAUGGGUGAAUUCUCUCACAUUUCAACAGAGUUUGACAAUGUAAGUUAUUUGGAAUUCUUUCUUAUUUUAGAUAAUUUGUUGUCUAUCACUUUUCUUGAUUGCUGAUUCCAUAAUGGCAAAGAAGUGAUCAUGCCCUGUUCACAUAAUUGAUCCUGAUGUUUAGCUUCCAGUAACUUUUUAUUUUUGUUUUAAAAUCAGGUUGUUUCAGUUGUCUUAGAAAAUUAUGGAGGUGUAAAGAAAAAUUCAGAACAAGAUGCCCAGUUUGGAGAUUUGGAAGAAGUUUCUCCUUCAGUACAACCCAUGAGAAGGAUUUCUUCCUCGAGGUUGAUAGUAGGUGAAAAAGGGGACGUCAAUGUCUCAGGGUACUUUUUUUCUUGUACAAUGCUUAGUAAUUGCCGCUGUGUAUCCCUUUCGUACCUAACAAUAACAUGUACCUUUCUUCUGCUUUCUGUUGUUACAGAGAGGAUUUGCACAAUCCUGGAUUUUGGUCAAGGGUUUGCCUCUAUAACAUUGCUAAGUUAGCCAAGGAAGCUACAACUGUACGGCGGGUUUUGGACUCUUUGUUCCGAUAUUUUGAUAAUGGCAAUCUCUGGUCUCCUAAACAUGGACUUGCUCUAUCUGUCUUGAUGGAUAUGCAGUUAAUAAUUGAAAAUUCUGGUAUAUGAAUAUCAUUAGAUUUCUUUUUACUUUUUUGUCCUUUGUUGUCUUUCUCCUGCAAUCUUUUCAUUUGAUACUUUGAGGACUUUGUAAUUUCUUGCAGGGCAGAACAGGCAUUUCAUAUUGUCCAUCUUAAUUAAGCAUCUUGAUCACAAGAAUGUUCUUAAAAACCCAAAUAUGCAGCUGGUCAUUGUUGAUGUUGUCACCUCGCUUGCUCGAGAAACAAAGGUUCAAUCAUCAGUUGCUAUAAUUGGUGCAUUGAGUGAUAUGAUGAGACAUCUGCGAAAAAGUAUACAUUGCUCACUUGAUGAUUCAAAUUUGGGGGCUGAAGUUAUUGAAUGGAACCAAAAAUUUCGAGCAGCAGUGGAUGACUGCCUUGUUCAGUUGACACAUAAGGUGAUGGUAACAUCUUUCAUAUUUCAUUAUAAGUUUGAACUUCUCGUCCCCUGUGAUAGAAUUUCUCUUCUGUUAAAUAAAUUCUAUUACUUUUCACAAAGAGGGAAAAAUAAUUUAUGCCUAAUAUUUAAAAUUUGGAACUAAACUUUUCUAUAUUCUUAUGUUUGGCAGGUAGGAGACGCAGGUCCUGUUCUUGACAUGAUGGCUGUGAUGUUAGAAAACAUGUCUAAUAUUACUGUUAUGGCGAGAACUUUGAUUUCUGCUGUUUACCGUACUGGUCAAAUUGUGGCAACAAUACCUAAUCUGUCAUAUCAAAACAAGGCAAGAGUUCAUCAACUCUUACACUUGCAUUGAUUUACAUUUAUUUUUCAUUAAUUUACCACAACAGUUUCUAAUUCUCAUUUGUUUCCAUUUUCUGGUUUGAUUGUCUGGAACUCUGUAGACCUUUCCUGAGGCAUUAUUUCAUCAGCUACUCGUAGCUAUGGUCUAUCCUGACCAUGAAACCAGAGUCGGUGCACACCGUAUAUUUUCUGUUGUUCUUGUUCCAUCUUCUGUUUGCCCCCGUCCUCUUGCUGCUACUCACCACGCUCCAAAGAAAAAUCCUAUUGGAAGGACACUCUCAAGAACAGUAUCUGUGUUUUCUUCUUCAGCUGCUCUUUUCGAGAAAUUGAAGAAGGAGCCAUCUCACUCGCAAGAACACAUCAGUCAUGACACCAAGGACAAUGCUUUAAUUGGUGAAGAAGCAAAGAUUACUAACCACACUAUGUUGAACAGGUUGAAAUCCAAGUUUAGUUUAAAAAAACACGAAGCGGCUUCAAUUGAGCUAGGGGCUCAGGAAGCUACAGCCAACAACCAUCCUACAGUUAACAGAUUGAAGUCGACUUUAAGCCGAGCCUACAGUAUGAAAAGGCAAUCAUCAACUAUGAGUACUGAUUCAACAGCUCCAAUUGUUCCACAAAAAGAAUCGGUAUGGAUUGUUGAUUCUGUUAUCUAUGGUGAAUAGAAUGAACCCUUAUCGUUUUCUGAUGACCACUUUUCUUUCUCUCUAAUUUUUGCAGACAAUGUCCCUUAGGUUAAGCAGUCGCCAAAUUACCCUUCUGCUUUCAUCUAUCUGGGCACAGUCCAUCUACCCUCUGAAUACGCCCGAAAACUAUCAAGCAAUUGCUCAUUCCUACAGCCUUGUGUUGCUAUAUGCUCGGACUAAGGUAUAACUUUCACUCUUGUAGGUUUAGCUAUGCAUUUAUGAUGACAGUCUUUGUGGUUAUGCUGCUUUAUCCAUUCUUGUGCAAAACUGCAAACACAGAUUUUUCAUUUAGUAUGGACUUGCGAACUGAAUGAAAGGUUAAAGCAGCAUAACCACAAAGAUUGGCAUUAAAAAACUAUGCUGCUUUAUCAAUUCUUUGAAUCAUUUCUUCGCUUUUUUAUUUUUCAAAUGCAAUAAGCUGAUGAUGUAUUGCAUAGUCUUCAUAUUAUGUUUUUGGAAAGUGGGUAUUUUUUGGGGUAAAAUUUAGCAUUUUUAUACAAUACGAGCUUUCGACAAAGAAAGCUAGCUCCAAGGAUGCAUGACCCAUGUACACAAGUAUGCACCAUCUCUAUUUCCAGUACGUAUUAACACUGUCGGCUUCUAAAACUAUUAAACAGGAAACUUGGAGUAAGAAUAAAAUGAUAAGCUUCAUUCAAAGCAUGACAAGAAAAAUUCACUACUAUGUGUGUGACCCUCAAGUUUAGACUCAAAUAAACACACUGGCCAUGGAUUUUGAGUCUUCGGUCUCUCCUCUGCCACCGAGAGGAAUAGAGAAAAACAAAAAAGGAAAACGGAGAAUCCAUUUGCAGUUUUUCCUUCUUUUUAUUUUAGUUAGGGAAUGGUACUAGAGAAAACUUAAACUUUCAGCUUCACUGAGCACCUCAAAUAGUGUACUUCACCUCAUCAUAAAUAUCAUCGUCUACCUAUGCUUCAUUCUUUGGGGUUAAAACCAAAAUCACUAAUCUUUAGUAACUGAAGACCUAUAAACUACUGAAGGAGAAAUACUUUAAGAAAGCAAUCUAUGCUGAACUCAAUUUCAGUGACCUUGUGUUUACUGUUCUAAGUCAAACUUCAAGAAGACAUGCCUAGGACUCUUGGAAGCCACUUGAGAACUCUUUGACUUGAUAGUCAAAAUUUUCCGAAGACACGCCUAGCGGCCUACUGUACAUUUUAUUUCUGCAUUUCAGAUGAAAAUGUGUCUAUAACCGCUAUACCAGAUAUCCAAGUUGGUUCACUCUUAUUCCAAAUAUCCAAUCUCAUUGUCCCCUAGGCUACUUGCUCAUUUAAUUUUGAAGGAGUCACAAUGGGAGGUCUCUCCUUGGGCUUGCUGGGAAGUAGAAAGGCUACUGUGUUCUGAGGAGGGGAUAGGCUAUCUAGGGAAAUAAAGAAACUGAAAGGGUGCUGUAAUGGGUUUAGUUUCAGGAGCGUAUCACCCUGUUACCAUGUUAAAUAGAAGAGAUUUAGUGACAAAGGAUUGCUGUAUUUGAUUUACAAAAGUUAUAGUACAUCGAUCAUUCCUAGUAAUCAGAAGUUGAUAACUACUAACCGGGAGAGUAAAUCAACUUUUAUGUAUUCAUUGCUCUUGUCAUAACUCUUUGAUUUCUUUCUGUUCCUCUUUUUCACAUUUUUCUUUCUUUUGAUCUGCUGUUUCAUGUAGAACACCUCCCAUGAGACUCUGAUCCGCAGUUUUCAACUAGCAUUUUCAUUAAGGAGCAUUUCUCUUGGUGAAGGUGAGUACUCAGGUCCAAAUAGUAUUCAUAGAAUUAUAACUUCUUGUAAAUUAUGAAAUUCUUUCAAUGCAGUAUUAAAGUUUGAUUACGUAGGUCAUAACUAUACUUAUCUAAUAACUGUAACAUUUAGGAAUCGAAUGGUAUAAAAAGGUUCAAUUAGUGAUUGAGGUUUGGUAGUAUUAUUAUACUUCUCUCUUGUUAUACUUGAUUCUUCUUUCAGAAGCCAGAAGGAUAUGAUUUUGAUGAGGACGAGAUAUUAAAACGUUAGUUUGCUAUUCUGGAUUGGAUAAUGUAUGCUAACCUCAUUGCUUUGAAAUAUGAUGGUUAGAACUCACAUUGGGAAGUCGUAAUGUUUUCCUUGCGCUGUUUUUUUCUAAGUGGGGGAUUUCUUUUCAAAUUUUCAGGGUUGCAGCCGUCAAGACGCAGAUCUCUCUUUACCUUGGCAACAUCGAUGAUUAUCUUCUCAGCUAAAGCCUACAACAUUGUUGGCCUUGCUCCUUCUGCUAAAGCAGCACUUGCAAAUGAAACAGUAGGUGUAACAGAACCGGUUUAUCUUUUUGCUUAUUUAUGCUCUAACUUCUUCAUUGUUGUGGAACAAACCCCCUAGUGCACACACACACACACACACACACACACAUAUAUAUAUAUAUAUAUAUAUAUAGGGUUUCUUAGUCUUGGAAGUAUGUACAUAGAUAUAGAGUUUCUUAGUCAUGGAAGAAUGUACAUAAAUUUAACAUCACUUGAUACUGAUUUGCAUCCUGUAAUGACUUGUUUAUCAGGUUGAUCCAUUUCUACAGUUAGUUGAUGACUCCAAGUUACAGGCUAUUGAAUCUGGCCCUGACCAACCAAGGAAAGUUUAUGGAUCAAAAGAAGAUGAUGAAGAUGCUUUAAGGUCACUUUCGGCUUUAGAAAAAGCUGAUACCCAAUCUAAGGAAUCAUAUGCUACCAUGAUAGUGAAGACACUGGCAAAAUCAUCAGAUGUAAAUAUCCGUACUUGAAGAUAUGAGACGUAUCUUAUUUGUUAUUAGAAUUGGGAUGCUGACUGUUUAGUUGUACUACAGGAAUUUUCAACUAUGAGACAGCAGUUACUGAACGAUUUUCUUCCUGAUGAUACAUGUCCUUUGGGAGCUCCAUUGUGCAUGGAAACUCCCGUUCAAAUCAACCAAUCUGGCUUACCAGAAAAUGCAGCUCCUAAUACUGUAAGUUACUUGAAUCAUUUCAACUUUUUUUUGUCUAUAUCUGCAAACAAAAUAAAUGUACACAAUGGGUUUUACUGUGCAGGUUGAGCCUCCAAUGUUCAUAAUUGAUGAAGACGCUUUACCCAGUGCAUCUGAAAGUCAAACAGAUACGAACACGAAACUGGCCGUAGAAAAUCUGAGCCUCAUCAGCGUCAAUGAACUUUUGGAUUCGGUAAGUAUGGUAUCAUGCUCACUGAUAUAGUGUAACUAUAUAUAGUGUCAAAAUGCCUUUGAUGAAUACAGUAGUUAAUGUAAUGAAAAUGAAACUAUAUGAAUUGUUGCUGACCUAAAUGCUAACCGUAUUGAGAACUGAUUCUUCUUUGGGAUUUUACUAGUUCUGGCUUUAGUAGAGUUGGGGUAUAUCCUUAGCAAAGAAUGAUAUACUAGUGUUUAACUCAUCAGAGUGAAACCAAAAAGAAGGAACUGAAGAGAACUAUGUUGGAAUUUCUAGAUUUUUCCAUAGCUUCUGAUUCCUUCUUCUAACAAGAGUGUAGUUUCCUGUUCACAAUUUUACAAAGAUAUGAUCAGAGGAUCCGGAAUAGGCAAUGACAUGGAUAUGAUAAAAAAGUAAUGAGUUUGCAUAUAGGUCAUUCCUCAAUAUGAACAAGCCUCUUCUUAGGGAAGUGUGGGCAAAAGUGAUGAGGGGAUAUGCACUUUGAAAUUCAGGAUUCCUAGAGGUAAAUAAGAAAGGGGAGUAUCAGAUAUGCGUGAAAUGAACACUAUUUUUGAGUCUUGACCCAAAAAAAGCAAUGUAUUUAUGAAUAAUGUUUGUGACAGAGCUUGUGACUCCAAGUGAUUCGGUUUUCAUCAGAAAAUGUGAAACUAUGGCAAAAGGAUUCUAUCUUGCGUGGUUUUCAUUUUUAUAGAUCAGAAAACAUUUAGAUCCAGUACUAAGUAACUGCUCUUGUUGUUUUCAUGAAUUGCUACGUGAUUAGUGAAUGCUAGAGACACUUUUCUUGCAUCUUUGGGGUUCAAUGAAAACCGUUUCUAGCUAUGUGGAAGCACUUUAGCCACUUCCCACGCUUCCCUUAGCCUAUUUGCAGAUGCAGAGUCCAGACUACAACACGGUCAUUAACUAGGAAAAAGUGAUAAUGGGUUACAUGGGGAAUAUGAUGGCUACUGUAGUAGAUGAUGAAUUUGAGAAGGGUGGGUGGUAGUUGCUACGUGAUUAGUGUCCAUUGCAAUGGUACUAAACUACUAAUCAUAAUGGUGCGUAGUGCCAAAUGACAGUGGUGACAAAACGGAUUCAGCUAGAUUGGACUCUUCUUGCACUAAUUGGUCUACCUCUUUGAUUAGGAGCUUGUACAUAUUUCUAAGCAAGUGGAUUUGUAUGCAGGUUUUGGAGACAACUCACCAAGUAGGUAGAAUAUCAGUUUCAACUGCUUCAGAUAUCCCUUACAUGGAAAUGGCUGGCCAUUGUGAAGCCCUUCAAAUGGGGAAGCAGAAGAAGUUGUCUGCAUUCACAGUUGCCCAACAAAGGCAAGAAAGUUUGAUUAGAUUUUCUACUCAGGAUCGCAGUGUAUUAAACGAAGUGCCUCCUUCGGUUGUCCUGGGUGUUCCUACGGUACUUCCUUUCUCUUGGAUUGACAUAUUAAAUGGAAAAAUAUUGGAGAUCUGUCCUUCUAUAGCAUGCAUUAUAGUUUUUAUUUGAUCUUUGUGAUUCUUGUGUUAGCCUCUUAGUCUUUUAGCAAAUUGUUCUGAGUCUUGAACCUGCCUGGAACUGCAGAGUGGUAAUCCAUUCCUUGAUGCAAAUGCUGUUCCGGUCAACCAACCUGUUGGCAAUGGUCCGAUGCCUUGUGCAACUGGAUUCCAACAUUAUCCCCGCUUUCAGCUACCUGCGUCGAGCCCCUAUGAUAACUUUUUAAAGGCUGCUGGUUGCUAAUUUGUAGAGAUAAGCUUGGUAGCCAUUGUAAGAAUUGAGUUUUGCAUUGGAGUAACGAGUGAGUCCCAAGUUCAAUCACUGAAAACUCCUUGUUUGUAGUGUUGUUGUUCCUGAUAUCGGCCUCACCAUUUUUUAUCCACAAACCAGUGCCUUCAUUCAUGUAUUCUUUUCCUUUUCCUUUUUCAAUGGGAGGUUUUAAUUUUAUGAGGGUCUCCCUUGUACAUGUUUUUGGUAUGGCCAGGGCUUAUUCGUCUACCAUUGAAUAAAAUGUACAGAUUACAUUUUGGGUAGAAGAGGAAUCUACAAUGUAAGUAAGAAAACUGCGUAAUGAUUUUGGUUUACAUGAUGAACACCUAGCUAGGUUGAGCUAGUCUUAGUACUUUCACCUUUACAAUCACAGUAACUUUUCACCUAUUGCAAGCUUGCUCGUUAGCUCAUUCCUCCUCCACCUAUUCUUUAAGUUUCUACUUUCUAGUAUGGUUCCCGAAUUCCAUGAUUGUCCAAAUUACUUUAUUUUUCCAAGGCUAAUCAUUUGCAGGUUUUUUUUUUUUUUUUUUUUUUGCUCAGGAGGCUAAUUGCAGCUUUGUUCUAAUGUUUUGAGGAUUGUAAAUUUGUUACAUACCCCGUAUGUAAGAACAUACUGUAUGUAUUUGAUAUUGUUUAAAGUUUGUCAUUAUUUAUAAAUCUUGUGGAGUUAUGUGGCUAAUUUUAGGAAGUCCAGGCCAAUUGUGGCUAGCCGGCCGGAUCGAAAUGUCAUGGCAUAGGUGACAGCACCCCUUAGGGCUAUCGGAGGAGGUCUUCGACGAGGAUGCUAUCUACGACCAAUUCUUUUACCUAUGUGGGCGGCUUUUGACAAAUGAAAUGAGUAGAAUACUGAGGUGUAAAGGCACCAACGUAUAUGGAGUUGGUGGCUACAAGUAAUGAGAUACCAGUGUUGUCUCUUUUGUAUGGAUAUCUAGGCAGAGUCCGACUAUAGAGACCUCGAAGCAGGUGAUUGGUGUUGCCACUGAUGCUAUACUAUGCAUAUGUCGGCUCUAUAGAGGUCGAAUGUUAUUCACCUUGAUGUCAGGUGGCAACUGCGUCGUUGUUGAUUCAUUUAAAACGACAUUUGAAAGGUGGAAUUGGAUCGUCCAUGGAAGAAGUUCUUUAUGGCUUCUCCGACGGUAAAAGUUGAUAACCAUGUGGCUAACAUAACAAUGUGUCACUUUGGAUCUGUCCUAAUAAGAAGAAAAUGGGUAGGCCAUGGGGAGGUGUACAAAUAGACCUAAGGCAGCUAGGAAACUCAUUCCUAAAGUGACAUAUGUUAAGAGGAAAGAGAAGUUCUUUGGUUAAGGAGAGUACUUUUAAAAUUGUUCGUGAAUGUACUGCGCGUAGAUGGAAGCAGUAGGAAUGGAGGCUGAAAAGUUAGAGUUUGGGAUGCGCUCUUUAAUUUAAUGAAAGCGUCUCAAUUGUGGUUUGAGUUUUGAUCGGUUGGUACCCUUUAGUAUAAUUUAUGAACCUUCACUUAAACUGUUAACAAAGGCAAUCCAAACCGUGUUAAAAUGAUAGGUAUAUUUUAGAUUUUCAGAGUCUAUAGGCUAAAUUUAUAGUCUAUUUAACUCUUAUUAUUUGAACCUAUGAUUUUGUUAUCAUGAUAUACUCAUAUCAACAAAUUUAAGGGAAAAUGUCUAUUUAGUACUAAUUGUAACCCUUUAUUGCCUAUUUUAAUGACAAUCUUUUCUAUGAGCCCAUUUGAAUGAAAGUAAACUUUUUUUAUGCCCAAAUGGUUAAAUCUUUACUAAAGUCUUAACAAACUAUAUUAUUUUAAGACGAUUUUGCCCCCAUCUCUUCAACAUGAAAAAACUUGGCCGGAACCUCGGACUCCAUUCACCGGCCACCGGACUCCGGUCACCGGCCGUCGGACUCCGAUCACCGGCCGCGGGACUCCGGUCACCUGAAUUUCUCGACCGCCGGACUCUGGUCACCGGAAUUUCCCCAGUAACCAGUUACUGACCCCCAAUAACCAAUUACUGACCCCUAGUAACCCUAGUAACCAGUUAAUGAUCAAUUAUUGACACCCAGUAACCAGUUAUUGACCAGUUACUGAAUUACUUUAGUCACCGGCCGCCGGAACUAAGUUACUGACCCCCAUGAUUCCUUAAAAGGCUAUUGACCCCGGGUAACUCAAUUACUGACCCCCAGUAAGUCGAGUUACUGACCCUCAAUAAUCGAUUACUAACCCCUAGUAAUCGAUUAUUUAACCCAGUAAUCGAUUAUUGACCUUCAGUAAUCGAUUACUGACCCUCAGUAAUCGAUUACUGACCCUCAGUAAUCGAGUUACUGACGCCUAAUAAUCUGUAACUGACCUCAAUAAUCAUGUUCAAAUCUUCACCAAUAUCUUCAAUUCGUUGACCAGCCACUCAAAAUUUCUUACCUCUUUCUUGACCGACCUUCUUCCAGUGGCCGAUCGACACCAACCAACGACAUUUUGAAAACGAAGACGUACUAUGGCGUCGCACAGCUCCAACUCCCUCACGCGCCUUCGCUUCCCCGUUGUCCUAGCCAAGUCUGCAGUCAGUGCGGAGCGGCAACAAGCUCCUGGAAGUAGACGACUCCUGAUGGCGACGGUGUCCAGAUCGAGAAGAUGACACCAGAUUCUAGCUCGUUUGAUAGCGAAUCUGCCGAGAGAGAGAGGCCAGAUCUUUGCGAACGAAGGGGUCGACGUCCUCGCCGUUGAAGAUGGCGGAGGAGAGGAGGAGUUUCGAGUUUCUCGGCAAGUCGCCGUUAUCGGUGGCCUCCGCCGGGGUUACCGAGACCGACGAGACCUUUCAUGGCGUGAUGACAGCGGUAAUGGUGAGGAGAGAGAGAGAGAGGAUCGGGUGAGAUGUGAGUGAGAGGAGAGAGAUAGCUAGGUCAGUUUUUGGGUAAAAAUGUCUUUUCAAUAAAAUUCAUUGGAAUGGGCUACUCAAUCUUUUUUUCAUUGAAAUAAAGUUUACUUUCCGUGUUAUUGUGUAUUUGGGUAUUUUUCUAUAAUUUAAUAUAAUUUUCGAUAUUAAAAAGAUUACAAAGGACCGGAAUGUAAUUAAAAAACAGUCAUUCUGAGGGACUGAAAUGCAAUUAAAAUAUGGACUUUGUUUAAUGACCUCUGUCUCACUCUCUCUCUGGAAUCUUCUACGAUCGUUGAAAAAUUGAUUCAAUUGAGCCAGAAAAGCCAUAAAGCUCAGAUCUUGCAACUCUCAUAGAAACUCCAAUCCGAUCAGUAAGUCAAGUCUGUUUGUCAACCCGCCUUAAGAAAUAUGCAUUUGCAUUUUUCAAGUGUUCAAUCUAAUUUCAGCUGACUUUCAGUUUCUAGUUUAUUCGAAUUAAAUUGAACUGAAUUGAAUUGGGUCUUUGCAGAUUUUGGGUUAUAAAGGUUGUGACUUAAUACAAUGGAGGAUGUCCAGGAGCAGCAGAGUCCCUCACUUGGUAUUUUACAUCCUUCAUUUUCAGUUAUCAUAUCUUUAGAGCUAUUAUUGUGUGAUGUUGAUACCAGGAAAGUCCAUCACUUUCCAUAUUGUUAAGCAUUGAUGCUUCAUUAUCUGAAGUUGAAUUCCGGGUUUCGAUUCUAGUUAUGGGAAGUUGUCCGAGUAGCAAGAAAUCACACCACCAAGUUUAGUGUUAUGUGCAUAUAGAGUAAUAUAGCACUUCUGAAUCUAAAGAAAAAUUCGCACAGACCAGGUUGUUUUAGUAAUAAUCUUAGGUGUAAUCUGUUUUCGUAGUGUAAGAACAGUCAAGAGAAGGAAUCUUAGUUGAAUCGUAAGGUAUAAAAAGACUCUAAAACUUUGGGGAUGCCGUUACCUUCCUUGAUACUCUUCCUCUGGUAAUGCUAGUUUUGUUAGCCUUGGAUUAAAAUGAGUCCUCAGACAUUCAGUUAUCUAGUGCCAUACUGUUAGGAAGUGGGUUUUAGCUUCAAGUCAUGGUUCUUGAUUCAAUAACCUUAAGUUAAGGUGGUUUUUGAGUCGUGGGACUGCAUACAAAAACAAGUUUUCUUUUUAGUUUUAUUUUUAUCUACAUAUCUCUUGUCAAACUGUUUUAGGUCUCUUUCUUAUGAUUGGUUACUUGAUUAUGGCAUCUUAUGUUUUCCGUGACUUGAUUAGCAUCUGAAAUUUACGUAAAUUUUGAGAAGACACGAAAUACUUGGACAACAAUGACAGUUCCUUGUGCUCCCCAUACUUCGAUUUGUGAUUCCUCCAUAUAUUUACUUUGAAUUGCGUGUAUUUCAAUGUUAAAAUAGUAGCUAUAAGGGAGAUUUUCAGCUACAUGAUACCUGUCUUGUUAAGCUUAAAGAGUAAGGUGUUUGUUUUCCCCUCUUCUUAUGAGUGGAGCAAUUACAGAUACCAUAUUUUGUUCUCUUCAAUUGUUCUAUUGUAAGACAUCCGAGCUUUAGAGACAUUGCAAGACAUACUAAUGUCUGUAUCUUUUCUAGGUCAAGAUGGUGAAAACGAAAUAGUCAUUGAAAAUGCUGCAUCUGUUCAUGCGGAACGUCCUCAGGAUGCUAACGGCCCCCCAAAAGUUAAUACUAAGGCAGAAAUUCUUCAUGACAAAGUUAAGAAGCAAAUCAUUAAGGAAGGCCAUGGUCCAAUACCAUCCAAAUAUUCGACAUGCUUCUGUAAGUGUCAGAUGGUUUGCUUAAUUUAAUACUUUCGAUGUGGUAACCUUUGAGUACUCGUAGAAAAGUUUGUCUUUCUGAUGAUUCUCAAGCUAGACUUCUCACCUGUUGCAUCAAAAUUUAUAUUUGGGACAUCAAAUACUAUUGCUUAGAAAGAAGUACAUUUCAAACUAUACAUACAAGACAAGCAAACACCUUAUGUAUCUCGUAUAAGUGAUUUUGAAGAAAACACAAUCACCCACAAAGUACAUAUACUAUAUCAUUGGGAGGUUUACAUAUAGGGUAGAUUAGCUAGAUAUUUUACUUUCAAUUUUACUUUUGAUGGUGGAAGUAAUUAGCUAAUUUAUUAAUAUCUGAUGACUUCAUACGUGUGAUAGUGCACUACAGGGCAUGGACUGAGAGCACACAGCAUAAAUUUGAAGACACAUGGGAUGAACAAAGACCACUUGAAAUGAUUUUAGGAAAAGGUAUUUGGCUUGUCAAGUAAUCUGUUGCUAGUAUUUUUUUUAUUAUUAUUCUAAAUAUAUGGAAAUGACUGUUGAUGAGUUGCUUGUUCUUACAUGUUCAACCUGCAUUGAGUUUUGGAAUUUGUAUGUUGCAUUAAUACACCUGAUUAUGUUUCGUCAUCCUGAUUAUCAUGUAAUUACAGAACUACACCAGUAUCUGUAUGGAGUUAUAGACAAGUUGCCAAAAUAUAAAAUGAACCUAUAGUUUGUAAUGUUUUUGUUACUGCAACACAGAGAAAAAAGAAAUGACUGGCUUGGCUAUUGGUGUAUCCAGCAUGAAGGCUGGAGAACGUGCACUCUUACAUGUAGGCUGGGAAUUAGGAUACGGAAAGGAAGGAAACUUUUCUUUCCCAAACGUUCCACCAUCAGCAGAUAUAUUGUAUGAAGUUGAGCUUAUUGGAUUUGAUGAGACCAAAGAAGUAAGUUGCUUUCAGUUGUCCUCCCAAUUAAUUAUCAAUAGAAGGUUCGAUUUAUUUUUAAGGAAUUGACUCGAGUAAUGUACUAAAUGUAUAUCUGCGGAACUUUCCUUCAUAGGGGAAAGCUCGUGGUGAUAUGACUGUGGAGGAGAGGAUUGGAGCAGCAGAUAGAAGAAAGAUGGACGGAAAUGCUUUAUAUAAGGAGGAAAAACUGGAGGAGGCUAUGCAACAGUAUGAAAUGGUUACGAACUUGUGAUUCUUAGAUAUUACAUUUAUGGUUCCAGAUGAGUUCCUGAGUUUCACAGUUUCUUCAGCUCGGUUUCAUGGGACAACAAUCUGAUGGGUGUUUUCUGCUUCUUCUGUCAGGCAAUAGCAUAUAUGGGCGAUGACUUCAUGUUCCAAUUGUUUGGGAAGUACAGGGACAUGGCUUUGGCUGUUAAAAAUCCAUGCCACCUUAACAUGGCAGCAUCCCUGAUAAAGCUCAAGCGAUAUGAAGAAGCCAUUGGACAAUGCACUGUUGUAAGUAUAUGCAAUCACAAGAAAAAAUAUAUUUAAUUUAUUACCAGCAAUUGUAUUAUUCAUCCGUAAGAUACUACGAAGGUGAACUAUAGCAAAGCAAAGCUUAUUUGGGGACUGGGAUACCAGAAAUUUGAGUCAUAAUAUUCUUCAUAUAGUGCUUGAGAAAUGGGUGGUCUUUAGUGUGGCUAUGAUCCAAUGCAAUGACUUUGAAGUCUUACUGGCAGGGUUUUGAUCAAUAAUCAGAGUCGGGAAGUCCAUGCUUAAUUUGAACCGUUGUUCAUAUAAUAAAGUACUGCACUAUGAUCUUUGUAGUAUACUAGUAUGUGCCUAUGACUCUCCAACCCAGCCGCUUUUGUCCUUGUCAUGGGAUAUGCUUUAUUGACAACCCCGAUGAUACUUGCUUUCAGAGACCCAAUAGAGUAUUGUGAAACUUAUGUGCUAACUAUGUUCGGAUAAUUGCAGGUACUGGCAGAAGAUGAAAACAAUGUCAAAGCCCUAUUUAGGCGAGCAAAAGCCAGAGCAGAGCUUGGGCAGACAGAUGCUGCACGUGAAGAUUUUCUAAAGGCACGCAAAUUUGCUCCUCAAGACAAAGCUAUUGCAAGAGAGUUACGCCUGCUUGCUGAACAUGACAAGGCUGUUUAUCAGAAACAGAAGGAGAUCUACAAGGGAAUUUUCGGACCAACUCCGGAACCUAAACUGAAGCAAACUAAUUGGUUGAUCAGUAUUUGGCAAUGGCUGUUGUCAUUAUUCUACAGUCUCUUCAGGCGUGAGAAGCGAAAAGCUGAGUAGUCAAAAACACUUGAUUCUGUUUUUUUUUUUUUUUUUUAGUCCAAAGAGACUCUUGAAGUGUAACAUAUCUGAGGAGAUUCAUGUACUAGUGUUUUGAAUAAACAUUGAAGACUUGCAUCAUGAUCCUAAAGGUUCACUCAUUUUCAAAUUGUGAGGGGACGAUUCUAUGCCUUUGAGUAAAAUCUUAUACGGCAACAGUUUUCAUGCUAUAAGAUACAUGGAACGGAUUACUUUUCAGCAGGAAUUUGCUCGUAUCAUUUUACCUUGAUUAAGUUAAAGGAACUAGAAAUCAACCAAAGCAUUACCCCGAAGACUUGAGCCAGAAAUCCAUUUGCAGUGUCCACUUUAACGUUAGAUUUUACCUUGUACGAUUGAAAUUGCAGAAGAAAAACAGAAGUUACCUUGUGAAAGUUGUCGCUGUAAUACAAGUAGGAAAGCCAUGUUCAGAAAUAGAGUCGGUUUCUAUUUACUAUUUUUUGGUUGUUUCUUGUGUUGAUAGCAAUACCAUAAGACCAGAAUGACAUUUCGAUCAGGUAACACCUCCAUUUCAUGCUGAGUUACUAGCUCUACUCUACAUGGCAUGAACUUGGCCCCGAGCAUGCACUAUGAGAAAGUUGAACUUGAGAUGGAUGCAUGAUGUUUGUUCAAUCUUUGAAUCAAUACACAAGAUUGCUCUACUAUGGGUUUUCUGCUUGAAGAUAUAAGCGAAUUUCUGAGGGUAAUUCUCAUUACAAGGUCAACUAUGCUCAACGUAGAGCCAAUAAAAUGGCGCACCAGUUAGCAAGUCAGGUUUUAUCAUUGCUUUCAAUUUUAUAAAGAAUGGCACUUUAAACCGUGUAGUCGUUCAAUUUUCGGUGACCUCUAUGAUUGCACUGUGUACAUGUGUUAUAAAUGGUUAAGAUCACCGUGUAAAACUGUAAAUACACAUGCAUACAAGAAUUUAUAAAAAACAAAAUGUAUUCCCAGUUUCCGUUUGCGGUCCAGAGUCUCACCCUAUCUUGACUAUAAAGUCUCUCACCUCCAUCUCACACGUCUGUGUACUUAGUGUAGUCUAGUACCUUUCUCCACAUCUCUUAGUGGUAGUUGCAGUCUCCUUUUCAGUCCAACAUAACCUAUCAAAUAGCAGGGAAAGGUCAAGUCUGAGCCUUCAUCUGGUGAUCUGGUCUAUGGUUUAAAUCCUCCGUUCCCAAUAUUCCGGCAGGCCAACCUAUGCCUCAACGCCACGUUGUAGUUGCACCAAGACGAACCACCAUCCAUAUUAUUCUAAACCAAAAUUCUUGCUUGCAGGCAUAUAAUAACACUCUGAUUGAUGUAACAUACUGAUACCUCAAGCAAGCACAAGGAAAACAAAGGGAAGUUUUAAGGUAAAUGAUUUGAUUGACCACCUACUACUGCUUAACCACAUUACAAUCAGGCACCAUCCCAGGAUAUAUCGAAACUUUUGAUCCACGAUUUAUCCCCAGAUUCAUAAAAGGGGAGGGGAGAACUAACUUACAACACAUAACGGGAGAUGACGCUCUCUGUACAGAUUCUGGUUAGCAGUUCAAACACAGAUACAAUAAAUACGACUACAAAUACAACAGAAGCUACCUUGAAAAUAAGCCUAAAGCCGGCUACAUCAAAUUGGAGCCGUGAUGCUAAUAGUACAACAUACAAUUAUCAGCCAACACGAGGUUAGAAUUACCUGCUGCGCUGACAAAUUCUAAAGCAAAUCUUGUUCAUCUUGCAAAUCACAACGAAAGGUUUCGCUUUGUUGCUUCCAUUUUUAAUAGAAGAUCUUUGAUAUCCGCUUCCAUCCUCAUCUUCAUAUUGGAAUAUUCUCGAUGAGCACGAUCCAGAGACUGCAGUUCCUCGAGUUUCUGUUUCCGCAUUUCCUCAGCCUCAACGAAACGGAGUUUUGUUAUUCUACUCCUAUAUUCUUCUUCAAUUUUCUCAUUCUUUGCCAGUGCUAUGCGUUUCAGCCCCUCAGCUUCUUUUCUUGCUUCGUCCGCACGUGUUUGGAACAUUUUAGCCUCAGCCUGCUUGAUCCUCACAAUACUCUCUAACUCAUCGAAAACAGGUUCUUUUUGAGAGCUCAUGUGCAUCUCAGAUUCCAUCAUGCGCUUAUCAAGUUGGUCAUAGUUGAAGCUAGGAAGAAUGCUAGGAGCAGAGUCCAACUGAGGGGCCUUCUCUGUAUACACAGACUUCAGCCAUGCUGGUUCCUGGCUUGGGCCAGCAAUACCACUGUUUAAUUUACCUUGAUCCUUGCCAGAUAAAAUGGGUGUUUUGCCCAACUUGGAACUGUCAGCAUCUGCAGCUAAAGGAAAGAAACUUUAAUGUCAGCCCUUACGGUCAAAGACCUUCGGCUAUCAGAACCAGAUCACACAGAAAAAGCUCAUUCAAUUUCAAGAAAGAUACAAAUCAGAAGCUCCAAGCUAAUGUCAUUUGAUGGAAUUAAGUUCCAAGUGUGUCACCGUUACACCGUAUUUCUGAAUCUUAUAUAAGCAUUCAAAAGCAGUUCAGAUUUACUUAAGCAGAUGUUUCUGCUAACUGAAAUCCUACCGAUCUACCACUACAGAUGCCUGACUACCAAAAUGCUAAAAACAUAAUGCAUUAAAUAUAUAGAAAACAUUGUUACGGUUUAUAUAUAGCAAUUAUAUUUGAACUCUGGUAUUAGUAUAACUGCCAUAUAAAGCAGAAAAGACUUCUCCCUAAGAGCUUGAAUUUUCCCCCCACAUGUACAUGUAAACAAAAGGCUUAGCUGCUUCUUUAUUAUCUAAAUUUACAGCAGAAGACAAUUUGACAACUUUCAUCACUAUUCACUAAGAAUUGCAUUACUACAUCCAUAUCUUAUAAAUGAUGUGUUUAGCAGAUUUCAGAUAGGCAAAGUCGGUUUGGGAACAUAUGGUGCCAAGGAAUUGGCCUAUUCUGUAAUACCUCAAUUUCUCAGCAUAGAUAUUUUUGGCAAGAGCAGCUUAAAAUCAUUCCUAGCAAUACUACUACUGAAAAGAAGCAAGAUACCACACAUUAUGACCUCAGAACCAUUAGGGCAGCAGAACACAAAAAAAAUUUGCAUAUAAAUCAAACAACUUACCCAAGAGGAAAGCCAUUAUGUAACUGUAAACCUCCGGAAGGCCAGACUUAUUUGCCAAUCUGACAAGCGAUUGAUCAGCAAUUUCGUACAGCUGUCUCCCUCGCAUGUCCUUGCUGACAACAAAAAUUCUCUUAACAUAUUCAAGUUCCCUGGCAAGAUUUUCAAUCGUCCAAUCCUUGGCAAAAUUCUGAAAAACCUCCUUCACAAAGCCAAACAUUUCAGAAGGAUGAUCACAAGCAACACAAUGAAAUUGCAUCUCAGUCGUCCCUUGAGAUCCAGUCGCACUGCGUCCAUUUCUAAUAUAAGAUUCCCGCAAUGCACAAUCAGCAUGGCACCAAUGAAGACAAACAUCGCACCCAAUCCAACUACAUGUAUUUGAGGCCAUAUCAAACUUUGAGCACACAAGACACAUGCAACUGCUGCAAAAACCAGUCUUUUGAGAACAGACCUUGCAAUCACAUUCAUCCACAGGCACAGGACUCUGACAAGAAGGAUUUCUGCAUCUCAAGUACAGAAAAAUUUCAGCCAAAUCAGAAGAUGACACACUGCUCUCUUGCUGAAGAAAAUCUGGUAGACCAGUCUUGAGAGCAACCAAGAUUUCCAAUUGUGCCCGGUGGGCUUUUAGCAGCGUCUCCAAGGUUAUGUCAGACCUGUUCUGCAGUGCCUUCUGAAAUGCAGAUAGUUGCAUGCGCUUAUCCGCAUUUAACAUAAUCUCGCGAAUACUCUCCUUCAUACAUGCUGCGGAAUGUCCUGUCAUUUCAUGAAACUUCUUCGCCAUUACAUGUACUGGAUCAGAUACUAUCCUGGCAAUGAUUGUCUCAAGAAAAUCAGCCCCACCGAUGAGCAACUGCUCUUUUUCCUUCUGGCUGCUAGUCCUAUAUAAACUACCACUACUUUUCUCUCUCAUUAAUCGUUUUCUGUCAAAACUAUAAUUUGAUCCCAUCUCACGAGAUCCGACACUAUGCGAAGGUGACCUAACAUCCUCAUGGUGCUUUGGUUGCCCUCCUGACAACUGCUUAUGGAAGCUUAGCUGCCUUUCAAAUCCAUUAGUCCCUUUAGAGCUUCCUUCCGGAUGUUUAAGCUGUUGCCCUUGCACAGAUUGACCAUUUGUAACACCGGACUGUGGAUGAGAACCAUUGCCGGUGAUCAAAGUUUUUUGAUAAAAUGGAACCUCCUUGGUUUUAGCCUCAUUCUGAGCUAGUGCCUGCCAAUCAAUUCCCUGGAAAAGGGGGCGACUUUUAACCGAUUGCUCAAAGUCCAUUGAAUUCUGGGUUGUUAGAGAACAGCUAGGAUUGUGAUAAAAUGACUGAGAACCUGAAAAAGAUACUGACUGAGUAAAUCCAUCCGAGUUGGUACAGAAAGUGUUAUUUAAAGACUGUACACUCAUUGCUUGAUCUGGAGAACCAGGAGUGGCACCAAUAGGUAACAAAACAUUAGGCAAGCUUAGUGAAAGGUCAAGUGGCUCAAGAACCAACUUCUCAUCCUUCACAUUAACACCAGAAUCAGCUCUCUCCUGCCUCCUAACAGGAGAGGACGUAAACAACUCGAAACCCCUGGUGCUCGGUCCUUCCAUAUCAUUGUCCAUGCAAGUCAGUCGUUCUCUGGAUUCUCUCUCGGCCCAUCCACUAUUUUCAGCUGAAUCCUCCACAUGAGCCACGCUUUUCCCUUUGUCCUUGAAAUUCCGAGUCAAAUCUGCACUCAGAUUCAGUGUCUGAACUUCAGUGUUCUCCUCUGUCUCUUCUCUAUCAGACUCUGUCAUUUCAUCAUCCUCAGCCUUCACUUCAAGGUCUAUCCCCAUGUCAUGGUCUGUCUCCUCUUCCUUUUCCAACGCCCUCUCUGAAGCCACUUCCUUGCUCACUUCCUCCUUACCUUCUUCCCUGGACGAUUCUUUUCCACCAAAUCCAUCUUCGCGGUCUCCUACAUUUCUGGUCUCCUCAACCGAAGGCAAUUCAUCUUCUUUCUUUUCCUCUUCUUUCCCCUCACAUACUCCCUCUUUAUUCACACCUUCUUUAUCCAAGCACGCAUCGUUCUCCUCCAUAACCUUAGUCUCCGUUUUGCCCCCAACCUGAACUCGGCCUUCUUCCAUUUCAGCUACAGCUUCCGGUACCAAUUUAGGUUCUUCACCUCCAUCCUUAGCUUCCGGUCCAGCUUCAGGCUCAAGCUCUCCUUCCUCCAUUUCACUACUAGUCCUACUUCCACUCUCACCCUGAACCUCCUCCUCCUCCAUAGCCUGUGCCUCUGGCUCGGGUUCCGGCUCAGGAAGAGGUUCUGUCUCCGGCUCAGGAACAGUCUCCCUCUCCGGCUCAGGCUCCCUCUUAGGUUCCGGUACCGGCUCCGGCUCAGUCUCAGGCUCAGGCUCAGGCUCACUCUUCUUGACCUCAACACUCUUGGAUUGCUCACUGCCAACAGAGUCCUUGGACCAAGUCGGCGACUUCGACUUGGAGGUCGAAGAUUUGGACGAUUUCCCGUCCUUAAAUCGCCGCGGCGGAGACCUAACCCUCGACGGCGACCGGAGACCUCCUCCGACUUUCCCUCUCUCCUCCAACCUACCACUAGUACUCCUCCCUUCCUCAAACUCCUUCCCAAACCGCCGCCACGACAACACGCUCCCUUCCCGCCGCGACCGGUCCCUCUCCGAUCGGAACCCUUUCGGAAACUCCGACCCCCUCCUGGACCCGCCGCCGCUAAAGCUCUCCGACCUGUGCAUCGAACUCCGAUCGUAACCUCCGCCAUACCUAUCGAUCCCCUUCCUCCGCUCGAACUCGUGGUCCGGCGGCGGCCUCUUCCUCACCAUCCUCGACCCGCCGCCGGCAGCCACCUCGCGAUCAUCGUCUCCUUUAGACCUCGCGGCGGAGGAGGAAGAAGAAGAGAGCAAGCCCUUGCGGGGAGUGUCGGGUUUGUUGUUGUAGUAGAAGCUCCGGUGCGAAGAAGAAGACGAGGUCCGGCUGGGGUACGGGUUCGGGCUCGGGCUCGGACUCGGAGUCGGAUCCUUACCGUAAGAAUCGAGAUCCUCGCUGGAUCUCAGCCUCUUCAUUUUUUAAAAGAGAAACAAAAAAGAUCAAGUCGCUUGUGUAUUUCUGGUGGCGUUGAAACUACGGCGAGCGCCACGUCAGGUGGUGGUGGUGGUUGCGGAGUCACAGAGCGGCGGAGGAGGAGGAGGGGGAGAGGGGCAUAAUUGGAAAUAGGGGGAAAAUGAAGAGAGAAGAGAGAGAGGAAAGAAUCCAAGGAUGAUGGUGAGUUCAAACUUUGGUAGGAUGAGGAGUCAACGCUGUUUUAACUCCUGAGAGAAGAGAGAGAGUUGAAUACGCAAACUGCGCAUUGAACUCUGUGUCCGGAGAGUGCAAAGCAAAGUAGGAAGGCGCGUGUUUCUACGCGCAACUUUUUUCUCUUUUUUUUCUCCGAUGUGGGUUUCUAUUUUCUCUUUGAGUUUGCAAGUAUCUUUGGUUUUUUAUAUUAGAAAAUAACAACCCGUUACAAAACACAAAAAACCACCUUACAACAGAUUUAAAUAAAUAAGGAUAUAAGCCCAAGCCCAUAAUGUAUAGUCCCAUGCCCUGUCAGCAAUUUUUACGCAAAAUACCAAAAAAGCCAAUAUUUUCUAAAAUAACUACAAACCUGCCACUGCCUCCACCGAAUAGACCCGACUGCCUAAAUCCCACACUUCUCCACCAUUUCCAUUCAAAACAACGAUUCUCUCUCAAAAUCCCAAGCCCUAAAUCACAGUAGCAGAAAGAUUCGUCCCAAAAUUCUCCACCAUUUCCAUUUGAAACACCGAUUCUCCACAGUAGCAGAUCGACGCUGUCACCGAUUUAGGUACUUGUUCAAUCUUCUAUGGCUUCUGCAUGUCUGAGAUUAAGUUUUUAGCUUCGCGAUUUCUAUGAAUUUGAACUCGAUUUCAUGCAUUGGCUUUGUGUUUGUGCAUUUCGUUUAGAUUUGCUAUUAUUUGAACUUGAAAUCACAAUUUCAUAAUCGAGCAGUAACACUGAGUUUAUAAGAAUCUGAAAUUCAUGUUUUACAGUGCUUUUGGAGGCAGUAGCAGUUUAUAGAUUUGAUUAAUGGAGGAACAUGGGUCUACAAUGAUACUAAUGAGCCAAAAAGAAACAGAGGUGGCAAACGAUAUACAGGUAAUUCUCUAUGCACAUGCUCAUUUGCAAUAUCUCUGCUACUGUAUUUGUAUCAUGAGUUCUCUAUGUAUUGAGUGUUUUGCAACUGAGAAUAUGUUUUGAAUUGUCUAGACUAGUUAUAUGAAUGCCAUUACACAUGCUAAAGUAAAAUUGAAACUGCUACUGUUUCAAUUGUUUCCUGUUAACUUGAUCAUGCUCAUGCUACUGUUAAAGUAAUAUCUCUGCUACUGUAUCAUGAGUUAUCUAUGUAUUAGGUGUUUUGCAAUUAAGAAUAUGUCUUGAAUUGUCUAGACUAGUUAUAUGUCUGCUACUACACCUGCUGAACCUUAAGAAUCAACAAAAAAUCCAAAAAAAAAUGCUAAUGUUAAAGAGCUACUACUACACGGACUAGACUAGUUAUGUAUCUGCUACUACACUUGCUGAACCACAAGAAUUACAAAAAAACACUAAUGUUAAAGAGCUGCUACUACACAUACUAGACUAGUUAUAUGUAUGCUACUACACCUGCUAAAGUAAAAUUUAAACUGCUACUGUUUCAAUUGUUUCCUGCUAACUUGAUCAUGCUCAUGCUACUAGGGAAAAGAAAGAAAUAUAUAUGCUAUUGUAACAUGAGUUGUUUAAUUAUGAUUUUCUUGCUACUGUGCACAGGUGCAAAAUGAUAUGAAUACCAAUCCGAAAGGGAAGCGAUAUAAGACUCUAGCGCGUAGAAAAAAGUUGCCAAGAAAGAUAAACAACAGCAAAAAGCCAAGGAAGUAGACAAGGAAGUAGACAAGGUUAAAAAGCCAAGGUGUGAGCAGAAAUUUCGUCAAUUCAGAUGCAACAUGUUGGCAUUUGAAGAAGUAUUCACCAAUGUUUGCAAGGACUUAGGUGAAGAUAAAGAGAUUUUAAGAAAUGAGCUAAUGAAGACACCAUUCUGGGAUUUCAUAUCAAUAUAUGAUAGACAUUUGGUGUCAAAAUCCACUGCAAAGAAGUCGGAUAGAGAAAUUCAGCGAUUGAUUGACUGCUACGUGCCAAAAUUGAAGAAGUUCAAGUUUGGAAACAAGGUGGCUGAGAUCAGUGUGUCUGAUGUAGCGCAGAUUUUUGGGGUGCAAAACCCAAAAAACGGGCUCAAUGUGCCGACCCCACUUGAAGAUUCAAAAAAGCCUGUGGAUAAUUCAGUGGUGCAAGCUNNNNNNNNNNNNNNNNNNNNNNNNNNNNNNNNNNNNNNNNNNNNNNNNNNNNNNNNNNNNNNNNNNNNNNNNNNNNNNNNNNNNNNNNNNNNNNNNNNNNNNNNNNNNNNNNNNNNNNNNNNNNNNNNNNNNNNNNNNNNNNNNNNNNNNNNNNNNNNNNNNNNNNNNNNNNNNNNNNNNNNNNNNNNNNNNNNNNNNNNNNNNNNNNNNNNNNNNNNNNNNNNNNNNNNNNNNNNNNNNNNNNNNNNNNNNNNNNNNNNNNNNNNNNNNNNNNNNNNNNNNNNNNNNNNNNNNNNNNNNNNNNNNNNNNNNNNNNNNNNNNNNNNNNNNNNNNNNNNNNNNNNNNNNNNNNNNNNNNNNNNNNNNNNNNNNNNNNNNNNNNNNNNNNNNNNNNNNNNNNNNNNNNNNNNNNNNNNNNNNNNNNNNNNNNNNNNNNNNNNNNNNNNNNNNNNNNNNNNNNNNNNNAGAGCAAGGGGCUGUAAAACAGACAUUGAGAGAUACAGUAAGACUGCUUAUGCAACUCUAUUGAAUUUUACUUUAGCUUCUUAAUUGGGUUCUGCUACUACCAAAUUCUUUUCGCAUUAAUCUGCUACUACACUGAAAAACAAUAAAAAGCUACUGCUACAAAAUAAAUCAUAGUUGUUAUUUGUUCAAAAAUAAACUAUUUUUUUUUUAGAACCCUAUAUUUAUUAGAAAAACACUGCACUGCAGGUGGAUAAUGUAGUUGGUGACGAUGACUUUGAGAACCCUCCACCGAAGAAUGGUGCUACUACGCAUGAUGAGGUGGGAAAGAAGAAAGCAACGAGGAAGAACUUGAAGAAGGGUGCUACUGCACAAGUUGAAGAGGGUGUUUCUGUGGUGGCUGAGAAGGGUGGUCCUGCAGAAUCAGAAGAAGCUGCUCCUAUGGUGACUAAGAAGGGUGCUACUACACAAGCCGAAGAGGGUGCUUCUGUGGUGGCUGAGAAGGGAGCUAGUGCACAAACUGAAGAGGGUGCUUCUGUGGUGGCUGAGAAGGGUGGUCCUACAGAAUCUGAAGAGGAUGCUCAUGUGGUGUCUGAGAAGGGAGAUGGUGCGCAAACCAAAGAGGGUGCUAGUGUACAACUUGAAGAAGGUGCUACUGCACAAGCCAAAAAGCGUACUCCUGUGGUGGCUGAGAAGGGUGCUACUGCACAAGCCGUAGAGGGUUCUAGUGGACAAGCCGAAGAGGGUGCUACUUCAAAAGCCGAAGAGGAUACUCGUGAAGGCCUUGAAUCAUUUGACAUGACAUUACAUGGUUGGGUAAGUAUAAAACUUAGAUUACACUUACAGUAGAUAUGAGUGGAAUUAAACUUGACUCAUUUAUUUGUCCUUUUUUUGCAGCUGGAAGGGAAUGAAAAAGCUGCUGCUGUGGACGAUGAAGGUGAAACAUAUGAAGAAGCAACAGCAAACACGGAAGAGAUUUUGAAGAAGUUUUUUAAUAAAGAUAAGGAUGUGGAUCAAGGAGGAGGACAUGAAGAGUUUGCGAGUGAGAAAAUGUAUGAUCCAGAGGACUUCAGGUUGUAUGAAGAGUUUGUUGAAAAGGAGUCUAGGGAAUUUCCAAAAGCAACUAGUGAUGAGGAGUUGGAAUANNNNNNNNNNNNNNNNNNNNNNNNNNNNNNNNNNNNNNNNNNNNNNNNNNNNNNNNNNNNNNNNNNNNNNNNNNNNNNNNNNNNNNNNNNNNNNNNNNNNNNNNNNNNNNNNNNNNNNNNNNNNNNNNNNNNNNNNNNNNNNNNNNNNNNNNNNNNNNNNNNNNNNNNNNNNNNNNNNNNNNNNNNNNNNNNNNNNNNNNNNNNNNNNNNNNNNNNNNNNNNNNNNNNNNNNNNNNNNNNNNNNNNNNNNNNNNNNNNNNNNNNNNNNNNNNNNNNNNNNNNNNNNNNNNNNNNNNNNNNNNNNNNNNNNNNNNNNNNNNNNNNNNNNNNNNNNNNNNNNNNNNNNNNNNNNNNNNNNNNNNNNNNNNNNNNNNNNNNNNNNNNNNNNNNNNNNNNNNNNNNNNNNNNNNNNNNNNNNNNNNNNNNNNNNNNNNNNNNNNNNNNNNNNNNNNNNNNNNNNNNNNNNNNNNNNNNNNNNNNNNNNNNNNNNNNNNNNNNNNNNNNNNNNNNNNNNNNNNNNNNNNNNNNNNNNNNNNNNNNNNNNNNNNNNNNNNNNNNNNNNNNNNNNNNNNNNNNNNNNNNNNNNNNNNNNNNNNNNNNNNNNNNNNNNNNNNNNNNNNNNNNNNNNNNNNNNNNNNNNNNNNNNNNNNNNNNNNNNNNNNNNNNNNNNNNNNNNNNNNNNNNNNNNNNNNNNNNNNNNNNNNNNNNNNNNNNNNNNNNNNNNNNNNNNNNNNNNNNNNNNNNNNNNNNNNNNNNNNNNNNNNNNNNNNNNNNNNNNNNNNNNNNNNNNNNNNNNNNNNNNNNNNNNNNNNNNNNNNNNNNNNNNNNNNNNNNNNNNNNNNNNNNNNNNNNNNNNNNNNNNNNNNNNNNNNNNNNNNNNNNNNNNNNNNNNNNNNNNNNNNNNNNNNNNNNNNNNNNNNNNNNNNNNNNNNNNNNNNNNNNNNNNNNNNNNNNNNNNNNNNNNNNNNNNNNNNNNNNNNNNNNNNNNNNNNNNNNNNNNNNNNNNNNNNNNNNNNNNNNNNNNNNNNNNNNNNNNNNNNNNNNNNNNNNNNNNNNNNNNNNNNNNNNNNNNNNNNNNNNNNNNNNNNNNNNNNNNNNNNNNNNNNNNNNNNNNNNNNNNNNNNNNNNNNNNNNNNNNNNNNNNNNNNNNNNNNNNNNNNNNNNNNNNNNNNNNNNNNNNNNNNNNNNNNNNNNNNNNNNNNNNNNNNNNNNNNNNNNNNNNNNNNNNNNNNNNNNNNNNNNNNNNNNNNNNNNNNNNNNNNNNNNNNNNNNNNNNNNNNNNNNNAAGUUUAUGUGUUUGUAUAGGAGGGCUACUACUGCGUAUUGCUGUUUAGUUUGAGAUUAUGAACUCAUUAGGAUCACAAUUUUUCUCUGUUUAGUAGGUCAUGUUUUUUGGAUAUUGCAGAUUAAUCAAUUGUGUGGUCGACUAUUGUUUUAUCAUAUGGAUGAAUAUAGGCAUGAUGUCUCUUGAUAUCUUGUGAUCUUCAGAUGUGAUGCUCUUGAUUACAUUGUUUAGCAAUGCUGCUACUGUAUUUGGAGUGUUUAGGUUUUUGUUGUUUAAAAUGCUGCUACUAUAUUUAGUGUUUAGGUUUCUGAUUUUUCUGGAAGCAUAUCAUUACAACAUUCCCUUGUUUUGUUGUAUGAAAUUGAAAGGCUCUUUAUAAAUUGGCAUUUUCCUUUGAUAUACCACAGUUGCUACCACAAGGAUCCACAAAAAAAAAAAUGCAAAUGUUAAAGAGCUGCUACUACACAAACUGGACUAGUUAUAAGUCUGCUUCUACACCUGCUAAAUCACAAAAAAUCCAAAAAAAAAAAAUGCAAAUGUUAAAGAGCUGCUACUACACAGACGAGACUAGUUAUAUGUCUGCUACUUCACCUGCUGAACCACAAAAUCCAAAAAUAUUCUGAUACUGCAUUUAAUGAGAAAAAAAUCCUUGAAUUCUUUUGUUUUUUAUAACGAAACAAAAUCUGAAACAAAAUGAACCCGAAAAAAGGAAGUAUGCCGCUGCACCACAAAAGACCAUACUAAACGAUGAAAGUAUAUCAAUGAACCUAAAGGGCAGCGUGCCGCUGCACCGCCAAAAAANN
This 84345-nucleotide long non-coding RNA is filed under the name Fragaria vesca (wild strawberry). Its description in RNAcentral is "long non-coding RNA (FVES_LNC003737)". The record is from RNAcentral. Lineage: Eukaryota; Viridiplantae; Streptophyta; Magnoliopsida; Rosales; Rosaceae.